CCAUCUUCAACCUUCUUCUUGCCAUUGAUAUUCUUUGGAGGGGAGAUUAGAGCCGUUUGAAGGGAGUUGUGAGAUCUUUCGAGAUUUCAAGGCUUCUUAGGACUUAUCUUUUAAUUUCUUACUGUCAAUUCUUUCUUUAUUUCUACUUGUGCUGAAUCAUUAUCUAAUCUAUUUUCUGUUCUUAUUGUGUUUUCAGCCUUUUUCUAUCUUAAAGAAUCAGCCCAAAAAUCCCCAAUUUCUAGGGUUUUUCCAUACUCUUUUUGGGUGAAAUUAGAUUGUCGAAAUUUGGGAAAAACUAUCUUGGUGUUCAAUUGGGCAGAAUCACAAUCUCCUUGAGGGUUUCAAGAACCCUAACACUUAUUUCUAUUCUCUAUUUGAUUCUUUACUGUUUUGGGGAUUUUAUUUCAGAUCUGAAAAUUCAAAAAUCUAAUCUUUUAAUUUUCUGUUUCGUUUCAGAUCUAAUUGUUUAGGGUUUUCGUAGGAGUUUCUCGUGACUUGGCAACUCGAUCUUGGUCCGCGCGCAACCCCGUAUCAUUUGGUAUCAGAUUUUGGGCGUUUUGGGUGUUCUUGGUUGAUUUCUAAACUGAUCUCUAUUUUUUAAAUUACAAACAGCAGUUUUACCCAGAAAAAUUUUCAAAAAAAAAUUCAUUUGAGUGGGUAAACGUUUUCUGAUUGAUCUGAAAUUUUACAUACAUAUUUUUGGCACUGCUAUUGAAUAUAAAAAAAUAUUUCCCGCAAAAAAAAAGUCGAAAAAGUCAAAAAAUUGAAAAAAUACGAAAUCUAAUAAAAAAUUAAAAAAAUAUUCAGCGGGUUGAAUUUGGUGCCCAAAUUUUCCAGAUCAAAAAUUCAAUAUUUUAAGACAUUCUAGAUUUAAUUUUGUGAUUUUUUGAGAUCGGGAACACCUCGAACGAAGUUGUCAAGUUACUCCGCAGUUUUUCGGGUUUUCUGUUUUCAACAAUUUUUAUUGAUUCUUAGCUGUAGGUUUUCAUUUGUUUGCUUUUUAUUCUCCCUUUACAAUAUCUAACACCUUCUUGUUUUUUGUGUUAGUAGGAUUUAAACGUGUGCCCAAUCCUUCCUCGGUGCAACACGAAUCACUUGGUGUCUCGUCAGUUUUUGGCAUCCUAGUGCAAAUUAGGAUUCUUUGGUAGUUUGGUUCACACUCUCUAAUUGGUUGAUAUAAACUCUGAUAAAGAACUCACAAGAUUGAAUUCGACCUCAUUGAGAAUUUGAUUUUUCUUUUUGAGUGAUUAAUGGUGAGGUUUGCUAACUUUUAUUUUUAAGUGUUGAGUGUUUAUUUUUUACAGGUUUUGAAGAUGUCUAAAGGUGAUAAUAAUGAUGCACUUAUGAAAGUCCAACAACAGUUAGACAGACAUACUGCUGCAAUCACACAAAUAAAUGCUACACUUCAAGCAUUGAAUACUACUUUGAAUGAGGUACGAGUGAAUCAAAAACAUCAAUAUCGAGAUCCAAUUAAGGAAGAUAGGGAUAACCAGCCCCAUAGGUGCAACCCUCAACGUGUCCCUAGAAUGGAUGAUGAUUGUCAUGAUCAUGGACAAUCAUCUUUGGCAAAACCAAAGAGUGAGCAGCAACGAGAACAUCUCUUUCAUACUCGCUGCCACGUACAAGGUAAGCUUUGUAGAGUUAUUAUUGAUGGUGAAAGUUGCUCGAACAUAGCCAGCACGACGAUGGUGGAAAAGCUUUGCUUAACCACUACCAAGCAUCCACAACCUUAUCAACUACAAGGGCUUAGCAACGAAGGCCAAUUUAGGGUCACUCAACAAGUGCGCAUCGCCUUUUCUAUCGGUAAGUAUCAAGACGAAGUUGUGUGCGACGUAAUGCCUAUUCAAGCCUGCCAUUUGUUGUUAGGAGAACCGUGGCAACUGGAUCGAAAAGUCACUCACGAUGGUCGUACCAAUAGGUAUUCUUUCAAGCAUCAAGGAAAGAAACUUACCUUAGUGCCGCUCACUCCGGAACAAGUCCAUGAGGACCAAAUCAAACUGAGAAAUUCUGUUAAAACAAGUGAGGAAAACGAAAAAGAGAAUGAAAAAAAGCAAAAAGAGAUUGAGAGUGAAAAGGAAUGUGAAAUAGAAAAGAAAUUUGAAAAAGAAGUUGAAGAAAGAAGAGAAAAUGAGUUAGAAAAAGAAACAAAAGAAAAAGAUGAGGAAAGGCUAGUGAGGAAUGUUUCCACUAACCAAGAUCUGAAUUUUUCUUGUGUUGCUACUUUUCAGGUUCCUGAAAGAUCAAAAGAUAACUUUCAACUUCAAUACCUCUCAAAUGAAAGACGCUUUCAUACGAUCAACUUAAGCAAAGAUGAAAUCACACUACAUAAUCCCGAAGGUAAGCGAGGUAAGGAAAUUUUAGAAACCGAGUCCAGUGCAGAUUUGAAAAUUAUUGAUAAAACUUUUGGUGACUUAGUUCUUAAAAGAUCCCCUCAUUUUGAUCCGAUUAAUUGUUACUCUUCGAUUGUGGUUGAUAAAGUCAUUACGAAAAGAAGCGUGAUUUGUUAUUCUCUUGAUUUACCUUGUGUAAAAUCCUUGAAUUUGUCCAAAUCUGUUUUGGAGAAUAAGGUAACGAAAUUUUCCAAAUUUGUUUUCAAUUUAUAUUCGUGCCUUAAACAGUUUAUGUGGUUGUACAUGAAGUUUGAGUUCCAUUUGACAAACGUUAACUCAACAACGAAGAUUCGACUACACUAUGCCCCCAAUGAGCGAAGGUUUGUUUUAAAUGAAAAAGGUAAAAUCGACCCUUAUUCUUCUGCUUAUCGAGGUAAGAUGCUUGACACCUUUGAAACACUUUUGUACUCCUCGGAUAGUGAUAAAGAUCGUGUUGAUGAACACUUAGAUCGAAACGUGCUUGACUGUCCUAUUUUAUUUAUUGAUGAUCUAUCUGUUUUGAUGGUUGAUAAAAAGAUUCUUGUUUUUGAUAAUGCAUGUGUGAGUGAAUCUAUAGACCGUCGAUUAAUGCAUGGUACGAUUAUGCAACUCUGUGAACCAUGUGAAUCUUUUCAAAUACCUACUUGUGACGAUUAUGUUUACCAUUUGAUUUAUUACUCGCAAUUUAUUCAUGGUUUGUGGGAACAAUGUGAGACGACUGAAUGCCUUAAAACAUGUCCAUCUUUGUUUCAAAUAUUUGACGAGGCAGUGGUGAGUAAAUUAGAUUGUUUGCAUGGUAAUCUGAAUCUGUCCAUUCACAUGCGUUAUACCUGUUCUGUUAUGCUUAUGAUUGGACUACAAGCUUGUUUCCGUUGCUAUUUACUAUCUCAUGGCUAUUCUUCUCAGUGGACUCAAUUGCCAUUAGUCCCGUUUGAUAGAGGAAAGUCGAGUUCAUUUGAUUUUUCAGAUUCGAGGACGAAUCUUUUUGAGGAAGGGGGAAUGAUACGAGUCACAAAAGCUCAAAUUCUUGAAGGCGAGGCUCAAUAAGCAAAUUCCCAGCCCAAUCAAGAAAUCCAUCCAUACUUAGUUGAAAAUCAGGCCAAAUUGUCAAAGUGGCCCAAGUUGUAAAGUUUUAUUUUUAUUUUUAUUUAUUUAUUUAUUUAUUUAUUUACUUAGUUUAAAUUUUUAUGUCAAUAUUCAGUCCAAGAGUCCCAGAUAAAAUGACCUUUGACCGAAUUUCCAUAUUAAAAUAAUUAGGAGUUUUUUUUAUUUUAGUUUUCUAAUUAGAUUAGGACUAAUUAUAAGGCCUAUUUAAAGGCAUGGCUGUCCACCUUGUUAAACACUUAUCAUUAUUAUUAAAAUUUUCAGAUUUGUUGAGAGCAGAAUUUUCUUUGAGUUUUCUCCAAGAUUUCUCUCUUGAGUUUUCUUUAGAAGUUGUUUUAACAAUCUUUUUGAUUGUGGGAGCCAUCUUCAACCUUCUUCUUGCCAUUGAUAUUCUUUGGAGGGGAGAUUAGAGCCGUUUGAAGGGAGUUGUGAGAUCUUUCGAGAUUUCAAGGCUUCUUAGGACUUAUCUUUUAAUUUCUUACUGUCAAUUCUUUCUUUAUUUCUACUUGUGCUGAAUCAUUAUCUAAUCUAUUUUCUGUUCUUAUUGUGUUUUCAGCCUUUUUCUAUCUUAAAGAAUCAGCCCAAAAAUCCCCAAUUUCUAGGGUUUUUCCAUACUCUUUUUGGGUGAAAUUAGAUUGUCGAAAUUUGGGAAAAACUAUCUUGGUGUUCAAUUGGGCAGAAUCACAAUCUCCUUGAGGGUUUCAAGAACCCUAACACUUAUUUCUAUUCUCUAUUUGAUUCUUUACUGUUUUGGGGAUUUUAUUUCAGAUCUGAAAAUUCAAAAAUCUAAUCUUUUAAUUUUCUGUUUCGUUUCAGAUCUAAUUGUUUAGGGUUUUCGUAGGAGUUUCUCGUGACUUGGCAACUCGAUCUUGGUCCGUGCGCAACCCCGUAUCACCAUUCAAGUAUUUUAGGCACAUUAAUGCCUCAUUCAGCCAAGGGAGAUGUAGGAUCAUUAAAGAGCUGCACAUUCAUGGAAUUAUGGAGAUUCUUCAAGGCUAAGGAUGCAUGAAUGCAUCAAGUGAAGAUCAUGAUGGUUCGGCCAAUUCAUGUACCAUCUUCAAGCAUGAACUGGAUUUUAAUGCUAUUUGUGUGAACAUGUUAAAUACCUGUGUGAACAGAAUUUAAGUUAGUGUGAACAACAUAGAUGCCGAAUAUCAAUAGGCAUUUUAGGCUUAUAAAUAGCUUACUUGUUUAUUGUAAAAGGUUACAGAAUUUGAUUAUUGAAAACUUGAUUGUGAGGUUUCCUCCUAUCCUAUUUCGUACGAGUCUCGUUCUGACUUAUCUAGCUCGCUAGUGGCGUCAACCCGACUUCUUGAACUUAUCACCAUCCUGGUGUGGCGUUCAUCCACCUUUUUAUACCUUUGGUUCCUACCUCUCUAUAGGUAACGGGUCAAGGUCCAUCUUCUACAAUCCAUUUAAUCCACCUUGAGCAAUAUAAGUCCCGGGGCAAUACUUUACAUAGUAUUGAAUCGUUCUUCGCUUGAGUUCAAUUUCCAUUCCAUUUUAUCUAUCUACUUAAACUUUAUUUUCUUUGUUAAAUCGAACCAUCCAUUCUCCAAACCAAGCCAUUUUUGAACCCUUUUAAUUACUUCUGCUUAAAACAACUCCAUAAAGUUAUCUCCAUUUGACAUCAACCAAUACUUCUCGUCGACGAUCGGGCAACUUAAGUGAACUCGACUCCAUCAACCGAGUCGGAUCACAUCAUUUGGUAUCAGAGCUACUAAAAUGAGGAGUGCCGACAUUCGUAUCAAGCUCGGAGUAGGUUCGAAACGUAAAAAAAAUCAAAAAAAAAUUUGAGUUGUAAUUUAAUUUUUUUUCCCUUGUAUUUAGCUUACUAUUGUAUUGGAGUAAAAAAAAUCAAAAAAAAAUUCGAAAAAAAAUUGAUUGAAAAAAAAUUCAAAAAAAAAAGUGAAAAAAAUCGAGCAAAAAAAAAGAAAAGAAAAAAAAGGUGAGCAAAAAAAAUCAAGUUUAAAAAAAAAGUGAAAAGUCUUGCGAGUUUUUAUUUUCUUCUCUUAUUUACUCCGAUCAUCAAGUUUCCCUUCCUACCAUUAUUUACCAUCCCAACGCCACAUUUUAAACCAAUUUUCUUCUUUAUUCAGCCUACCCUACACCCGACAUUAUUCCUUGUAACCCAUUUUGAAACCGACCCUCAAGCAGCAAAUUAAGUCUAUCGAGACGAAUUACGAAUUUGUGAGACGAGAUCGAGUGGUAAAAGGCAAGAGAGCGUGAGUUCAUUCGAAAAAAAAGCCUAAAAGAGAGUUCAAACACGAGAGUGAGUGAAUUUUUCUUUUUGAGCGAACUUGAGAGAUUUGUGGUGAGAAUUAUUUUUUCUUUCUAAUUUAACUUUUGUUUUCUAAUAUUUUGUUGAAGCAUGUCUGAAGAAUUUUCUGAAUUUGAAUUCCAAAUGUGGAGACAAGAAAUGCAAAGGAUAAUGCGAUUUGAAUUUCGACAAUUCGACAAAGAUAAAGAAGAUUUGACAUCUACUAUCGUUGACAUCAAGAUUAGUGCAAUCCUUCAAAGAUUGGAAAAUGAACCACAAUGUGAAGAUAUGUUUCACACGCGUUGCCGUGUCCACGAUAAAGUUUGUUGCCUCAUUAUUGAUGGUGGAAGUAGGUCAAACAUGGCUAGUAUUCGAACGGUAAAAAAACUUGGCUUGGCCACUACCAAGCAUCCACGACCCUAUCAACUGCAAGGACUUGGUGUUGAAGGCAAAUUUGAAGUUACUCAACAAGUACGUGUUGCAUUUUCCAUCGGAAGAUACCAAGACGAAGUCCUUUGUGAUGUUGUGCCUAUUCAAGUCUGCCAUUUGUUGCUAGGAGAACCAUGGCAAUCGGAUCGCAAGGUCAUUCACGAUGAACGUACCAAUAGGUAUUCCUUCAAGAAUCAAGGAAGGAAAAUCACUUUAGCGCCGCUCACACCGGAACAAGUGCAAGAAGACCAAUUCAAAAUGAAGAAAUCCAUUGAGCGAGAAAAGGAGAAAGAGAUUGAAAAAGAAAUCGAAAGAAAACAAAAAGAAAACGAAGAAGAAAAAGAAAUUGCAAAAGAAAAAGAAAUCGAAAAAGUGAGAGAAAAAGAAAAUGAAGAAAAGAAAAUUGAAAAAGAAAAAGCGAAAAAAGAAAUUGAAAGAGAGCUUGAAAAGAAAUCAAGUGAAAAAGAAAGAGAGUCUAAAAAAGAAACGAGUGUCAUGGAAAAAGAAAUUGAGAUUGAAAAAGGAUGUGAAAAAGAGAAAGAAAUUGAGAUUGAACAAAAGUGUGAGGAAAAAGAGAAAAUUGAAAAAGAAAGAAAAGACAAUGAGUUAGAAAAAAAAUGAGAGAAAAGGAGGCAAAAGAGCAAGAAAAAGUGAGGAAUCUGUUUACUAAACCACAUGAGAAUUUGUCUUGUUUUGUUUCCUCUUUUCAGGUCUCCGGAAGGCCAAGUGACGAUAAUUUUCAACUCCAAUACCUCUCGAAGGAGAGAAGGUUCAUUUUGGCUGAAAAAGGUAAUGUUCUCAACGAUCCUAGUUCGCCUAUGCCAAAAGGUAAGCAAGGUAUGAAUGUUGAAAAUUUUGAAGCACUUCUGCCUUACUCGAUUGUUGAUGGACACACUGUUGAUGAUUUGGUCUUUAGAAAGAAUCUAAACUUUGACGUGGCUAUUUGUCAUUCUUUGAUUGAUGAUGAUCCAUUUGUUUUGUCUAAUGAUAAGAAGAUUCUUGCUUUUGAAAAAUAUCAUUUUGAUGGUAUUGGUUGUUUAUCUUUAACUUGCAAUGGAAUGCAUGUUUUGGAUGCGCAAGAUGAAAGUCCAUAUAAAAUGUUCAUUCUCACUGAUCAUGUUGAAAAGGAAUGGAAAUGUAUUGAUGAAUAUACCAUUGGCAAGAUUUUUGAUGAAGAGCGAAUAAAUCAGCACCAACAAAAUCUAGAAUUGUGUGAUCAAAAGUUGACAUAUCAUCUGCUUGGUUGUGUUGAUCAUGUGGAUUAUCUAAUUUUUGGUGUGAAAUUUCCAUGUUUUUGUAAAUCUUUUCGAAUGAAAUUUAAAGGGUUUGCUUGUUUGAAUUUGAGUAUGUUAACACCCUCGUUGUUUAAUUUGUGUAAAUUGUUGGAGAUAAAAGGACUCUUUUUGCCAUUUGGAUCGAGUAGUCAAAAUCAUGUCUUUAAUCCUGGAGUUUGCUAUUAUGAAUCAUCCAUGAAAGAAAGCAAGCAUCGUAAAAUUUGUUUGAAUGAAUGUGUAAACAAUCUUUGUUUGUAUGAUACUUUGUCUUUAAGUUUGAAAAUGAGCCAUGUGAAUCUUGUUGGUUUGUUAAGUCAAAAUCAAAAUUUUGUUUUCGGAGGAUGUUCUCAACUGUGGACUAAAAGAUCCGAACAUGUUUUGAAUGAUAAUGAUUUUGAGUUGCUUAGUGCUCUUUCUAUGAAGUCGGUCAUGAAAUUGCCAAAUCAAAUUGAAAUGGCAAGAGAAAAUUUUGUCUUUGACCCCGGUGAACACCAUUCUAUAUCAUUGCCUAAGGUAAUCGAACCAUGGAAAGUUGACUUCCAAAACCAUAGCUAUCAAAUGCCUUGUGAUUUAUGUUUGUUUCCAUCGAAGAAAAAGGUAAGAACGAUUUCUAUUUUCGACCCCCGUAUUGGAUUAUUUGUUCAAACUAUGAAUCAAUUCUCAAAAAGUUCCUUUGUGUUUAAUCUUCAUCGUGUCACUAAUUCGUUUUAUUCUUUUAAAGGUGACAAUGUGAAGUGGUACCCUCCAAAAGAGGGAGGGCAUGCGAAUGAGCUUCUUUUGAUCCGAGUUAAUUGUGGCUUUCAGAAUCUUCAACGAUUUUUCGUGAGUAAAUGGACCGAUUUGGGGACAAAUCUCUUUAAAGAGGGAGGGGAUGAUACGACCAUGCCCCGGGCACACUUUUGGAUCAGCUCCCUAAGCAUUGUUUGCAAAUCCAUGCGAGCUGAAUUAGUUCAAUUUCAUUUUGUUAAGCUCCGUUUAGCUCGUUUCCAGCUCACUCGAGCUCAAGUCAACUCACUCAAGCUCAAUUCAGCUCAAUCUUAACCCAAUGAGCUUAUUUUUAGCUUUCUUUAGCUUGCAUUUUUUUUUGCUGAAAUAAACCAUUUAAUUUGUCAUUAGUUAAAUUAGUUGUUUAUCUUAAGUUAGUUAAUUUGUUAAAAUCUGGACAAAUAAUUAAUUAAGUGUUUUAAUUAUAUCUAAAUUAAAUACUUAAUUAAUUAUGAUGUUUUAAAUAUGUCUAAAAUUGUUAAUAUGUAUGGCCAAAUUUAAUGUGCAAAUUAUUGAGUUCAUAUGCUGCUAAUUUAAUGUGUUUGAAAUGCAUUUAACUUGCUGAUUUAAUUUGCUGCAGGUUCAUGAACGGAUUGGUGCAAUGUAUGGGAGUGUGCAUGCACAAUUGAGGUUCAAUGGAUGGCAUUUAAAGGAGCACAUGCAUUUGGGACGUUCAUGCAAGAGGGAGUUGCUGAAAGUUCAUGUAUUUGAAGAUUCAUGGAUCAUAUUUAUGGGGGAAAAUACAUGGGACGUUUCAUGCAUGAUUCAUGCAUUUUCAAGAUGACCAUUCAAGUAUUUUAGGCACAUUAAUGCCUCAUUCAGCCAAGGGAGAUGUAGGAUCAUUAAAGAGCUGCACAUUCAUGGAAUUAUGGAGAUUCUUCAAGGCUAAGGAUGCAUGAAUGCAUCAAGUGAAGCAUCAUGAUGGUUCGGCCAAUUCAUGUACCAUCUUCAAGCAUGAACUGGAUUUUAAUGCUAUUUGUGUGAACAUGUUAAAUACCUGUGUGAACAGAAUUUAAGUUAGUGUGAACAACAUAGAUGCCGAAUAUCAAUAGGCAUUUUAGGCUUAUAAAUAGCUUACUUGUUUAUUGUAAAAGGUUACAGAAUUUGAUUAUUGAAAACUUGAUUGUGAGGUUUCCUCCUAUCCUAUUUCGUACGAGUCUCAUUCUGACUUAUCUAGCUCGCUAGUGGCGUCAACCCGACUUCUUGAACUUAUCACCAUCCUGGUGUGGCGUUCAUCCACCUUUUUAUACCUUUGGUUCCUACCUCUCUAUAGGUAACGGGUCAAGGUCCAUCUUCUACAAUCCAUUUAAUCCACCUUGAGCAAUAUAAGUCCUGGGGCAAUACUUUACAUAGUAUUGAAUCGUUCUUCGCUUGAGUUCAAUUUCCAUUCCAUUUUAUCUAUCUACUUAAACUUUAUUUUCUUUGUUAAAUCGAACCAUCCAUUCUCCAAACCAAGCCAUUUUUGAACCCUUUUAAUUACUUCCGCUCAAAACAACUCCAUAAAGUUAUCUCCAUUCGACAUCAACCAAUACUUCUCGUCGACGAUCGGGCAACUUAAGUGAACUCGACUCCAUCAACCGAGCCGGAUCACAUCAGAACCUUGUUUAAUUACUCUCCAAAUUCAACUCACCUACAAAAACACAUGAACCAAAAUUAAAUCACAUAAAAUUCAGCUGAACAAACAUUAAUAUAAUUUAGACACACUAAUUAAACAUAAAUUAAAUUAGACAAAUUUAAUAAAGUCUUAACAAGACAUAUUAAAUUCGGCCAAGACACAUUUAAAACAUGUAAUAAGUCAAAACAUAAUUAUGAGCUGUAGUAAUUUAAGCUAAAUUAAUAAAUUACUUAAUUUAUUCAGACAUUAAAAUUAAUGAGUUGAAAUAAACUUAAGGCAAGCUCAAACGAGCUAAAGUAAGCUAAAUUGAGCUCAAACGAGCUAAAUUAAGCUCAUGUGAGCUAAUUCGAGCUGGGAAAAACUAAGAUUGAGCUUGUUGAGCUGAGAUUGAGCUUCAUCUUGCACUUGGGGCCCUCGUGUUUAGGCCAAUCAUGAUAGCAACGAGUGGUGCCACAACAUGAUGCGAUUGAGAUCACAUCAUACCCUCCCUCUUGAAGACGAUUUGUCCUCAAAUCGGGCCACUUGCUCGCGAAAAAUUUUCGAGAUCACAAGCCCUUUUGUUCAUGAUCCGAAAAGUAUUGUUUUUAACUCCAGGAACCACAAAUGGUUUGAAAAGAAAAUAAUUUAGUUCCAUGCCCUCCCUCUUUAGGAGGAAACCAUUCCAAAGUGUCACCUACAUAGAAAUGGAACGAAUUAGUGACACUAAAAUUUAUAAACUCAAACGAUCUUUUCAGAAUCUUAUUCAAAAUUAGAAUGCAUAAUCCAAUGCCGGGAUCAAAUGUAGAAGUGGAUCUUACCUGUUCACAAUGGUUUUCCAUACUUGGUAAUAAAGGAUGCAUCAGAAUCAAAUCAAAUUUAUAAUCAAAAUUUAUCAAGGAGUCCUCCAAAUGAUCAUGUAAUCUAAGUUCCACUCGAUCAAUCUUACUUAAACAUGCAGAAUUUAUAUAGCAAUGCAGAUUUGAGACACCAUCUUCAAAUUCAAAUGCACUAACCAUUUUACAUGCCAUCGUCUUAUCACAUAUUCGGAUCAAAAGAAAAUUAAACAAGCAUGCCUUUAAACAUUCAUAUGUCUUGAUUCUGUUAAACAAAAAUAAACAACAUUCUCUACAAUCAAAAAUUUGAUUUUGUCUUAACAAGCCAACAAGAUUCACACGUUUCGUUUUCAAACUUAGUGACAAAGCAUCAUACAAGCAACGAUUGUUUACUUGGUCAUUCAAACAAAAUUUACAAUGCUUGCCUUCUCUCAAAGAUGAACCAGAAUAGCGAACUCCAGGGUUGAACACACGAUAUUGUUCACUCGUUCCAAAAUGCAGUGUGAAUUUCUUAAUUACCAACAAUUCACACAAGUGGAACAAAAAGAAUUUGAGCAUGCAUAUGUUCAAACAUUCAUACAUCGUAAAUCUCAUUCGAAUAGACUUGUUCUGAUACGACCCGCCCCCGGGAACAGCUAUUGUUUCAGCCUACAAGCGAGGCUCGUCGUGUUUGCAAGCUGGACGUAGCUCAAUCUUAUUUUGUGGAGCUUCAUUUAGCUCGUUUCCAGCUCCUUUCAAGCUCAAUGAGCUCGAACUAGCUCAAUUUCAUUAAGACCUUAUUAUAGUAGCUGAAAUAAUUAUUUGAGUCAUUUAAUUAGUUUAUUACAGCUCAAUUAAUAUUCAUGAUUUAUUUGGUUUAAAAUCUGGACAAAUUUAAUUAUGCAUGAUAAUUGAGUUAUAAUUAUAUGUUAUUAAUUUGUCUUAAUUUCUACAGCUCAUUAAUAUGUUUUUUAUGCAUGUUUUAAUGUGUCAAUUUUAUUACAUGUUUUAAUUAUGUCCUAAGGUGGCCGAAUUUAAUGUGCAUAAUUUUUGUGUCAUUUGCUGCCAAAUUAAUGUGUUUAAAAAUGUAUUUGAUUUAUUGAAUAAAUUUUGCUGUAGGUACAUCCCAUUUGGACGUCCUUGGUCAUGAAUGAAUUAAAAGAAGAUACAUGUAAGGGGACGGCACAUGCAUGUUUGGGGAAUUAAAUUUGGCUGCUGUUUGAAGUAUCCUAGGUGACCAUUCGGCCAAAGAAGCUAUUGUUUCCUACUCCCAAGUUGACCAUUCAGCCGACUUUUAAUUCUUUUCACAUUGCUGGAUUCAUCUUGGCUGUUCGGUUCUAUAUGUUCACAUGCCAUGACUCUUCAAAGCUGAGUUUUCACACCUUGGUGGCUGCUCAUUACCUCCUUUAAUUGCUGAUCACUUUUCAACAAAAGUUGCCAAUUAAUUGAGUUUGUUUAAGUCCAUUAACCGAACCUAGCUGCUGCCAUGCAUCUUUCCAAGCUUCUAAGUUCAUUGCUCUUUCUAGAAGAUGACCAUUGGAGCUCCAUUCAGCCGAAUUUAGUUAAGCACAUUAAAGGAAUUCAUUUGCUUAAUUCUUAAGCAUUCAUAUGACUAUUCGGCUAGCCUAGUCUUUGUCUAUAAAUAGUUGUUAAAUUCAAUUUGUAAAGGGACUUUUGACAUUUUAAUUAGCGAAUUGCUGCAAAAUUUGUGAGGCAUUUUCUCUCAAAUUUCGUUCGAGGCCCGUAAGACUUAUCUAAGCUUUUAGUGGCGUCUUUCCGAGUCUUUUCCGAACUUAUCACUCCUUAACCCGAGUGUGGCGUUCACCUUUGAUACCUUUGGUUCAUACUUUCCUAAGUAUCGGGUCAAGGUUCUUUUUAACCAUUUCCAAUUCAUUUAGGUCCUAUAAGUUUCGGGUCGACACUUUUCUUUAGUGUUGGUUCAUUCUUGACCUCUUUGAACCGUUACCAAUUCGUACCAAAUACCAUACCAUUUCAUACCAAUUCCAUACCAUUUCGUACCAAUUCCCAAAUACCAAAACGUACCAAAACCAAAUACCAUUUCUUAAUUAUCCUAAACCAAACUCUUCCAUUCUAUUCAUACCAUUUCGACUUAAACCAAAUCCACAUCCAACUUUGCACGAACUUAUCUUACUUCUUUGUACACAAAUAUAUUCUAACUCCUUCUCGGCUAAUCUACUUCUUCGUUUACGAUCGGGAAUCAAACGACUCGGACUCAACUACUAAACCGAGAUCAUAUCAUGUUCAAACAUGGGGAAUUUACGCAAAAAAAUAGAAAAUUCAAAUUAUCACCACACACAAGUAGACUAGGCGUUUCACAUGCCAACUUUUUAUCACAAGAGUUCAAAAUUUGUUUGUGCAGAUUUAUUCAUACUUCAGUAAAAUUCUUGCCUAUACCAUACUCAUCAAUAGGAAAACACUUCUUACCACUAUGGAAGGUGUAAUCACCAUCAUUCAGAAUAUGAUAAUCAAACAAAUCGAACUUUGUAUGUGAAUAAUCUUUAUCGCACACUAUCACACUUUGUUCAUGCUGAUCUUAUCGAAUGCCUUCAAUAAAAUUGCCAGCAACAAACUCAUCAUAGAAAAAACUUUUCAAAGCACUAGUUGAAACAAAAUCAUAAAUAAUAGAUGAACGAAAAUUAACCAAUUCAAUGGGGAAAACCCUUUCGCAAAAACAAUUUUCAGCAAUCUUGUCAUAAACAUGUGAGUAAAUGAGUUGAAACUCGCUCAACAAGGAACCCUUACCUUGCUUACCAUUGGAAAUGUGACAAUCAUUUUUAUCUUCCAACUUACCUCUUUCAAUCAAUUGAAAACGUCUCUCGGUAGAAAGGUAAUGAAGUUGGAACCAAUCCGUGGAUGGAAUCUUGCAAACCUGAAACAAAGAAAAAUCACAAGGUAAUUUCGAAAGGGGGUUAGCAAAAGAAUUCCUCUCUUUUUCGUGAUUACUCACUUCACUCGUUUCUUUUACAGACUCUCUUUCUUUUUCACUUGAUUUCUUUUCAAGCUCUCUUUCAAUUUCUUUUUUCGCUUUUUCUUUUUCAAUUUUCUUUUCUUCAUUUUCUUUUUCUCUCACUUUUUUGAUUUCUUUUUCUUUUGCAAUUUCUUUUUCUUUUUCGUUUUCUUUUUGUUUUCUUUCAAUUUCUUUUUCAAUCUCUUUUUCCUUUUCUCGCUCAAUGGAUUGCUUCAUUUUGAAUUGGUCUUCUUGCACUUGUUCCGGUGUGAGCGGUGCUAAAGUGAUUUUCCUUCCUUGAUGCUUGAAGGAAUACCUAUUGGUAUGUUCAUCGUGAAUGACCUUGCGAUCCGAUUGCCAUGGUUCUCCUAGCAAAAAAUGGCAGACUUGAAUAGGCACAACAUCACAAAGGACUUCGUCUUGGUAUCUUCCGAUGGAAAAUGCAACACGCACUUGUUGAGUAACUUCAAAUUUGCCUUCAACACCAAGUCCUUGCAGUUGAUAGGGUCGUGGAUGCUUGGUAGUGGCCAAGCCAAGUUUUUUAACCGUUCAAAUACUAGCCAUGUUUGACCUACUUCCACCAUCAAUAAUGAGGCAACAAACUUUAUCGUGGACACGGCAACGCGUGUGAAACAUAUCUUCACAUUGUGGUUCAUUUUCCAAUCUUUGAAGGAUUGCACUAAUCUUGAUGUCAACGAUAGUAGAUGUCAAAUCUUCUUUAUCUUUGUCGAAUUGUCGAAAUUCAGAUCGCAUUAUGAUACGGCCACGCCUCGGGCACACUUUUGGACCAGCUCCCUAAGCAUUGCUUGCAAAUCCAUGCAAGCUGAAAUAGUUCAAUUCCUUUUCGUUGAGCUCCGUUUAGCUCGAUUCCAGCUCACUCGAGCUCAAGUCAGCUCAAUCGAGCUCAAUUUAGCUACAAUUCAGCUCAUUUAUUUUAUUGGUUGAAUAAUUAAAGUAUUUAUUAACUUAGUUUAAGUUAUUACAGCUCAUAAUUAUGUUUUGAUUUAUUUCAUGUUUUUAAAGUUGUUUUAGCCGAAUUUAAUAUGUUUAGCUUAAGACUUUAUUAAAUUUGUCUAUUUUAAAUUUAUGUGUUAAUUAAUAUAUCUAUUUUUAAUUAAUUUGUUCAUGUUUCAUGUAGGUACAGCCGAAUGUGGAGAUUCAUUCAAGCUAGGUGCAUGAACGUCUAUUUACAAUGCAUGAUGUGGGAACACAAUUAAAGAUGAUUCAUGAAUGGGCUGGUUCAAUGAACGUAAGGAUGAUGCAUGAAUGAGUUAAUACAAUGAAUGGAAGAAUGCAUGAAUAUUCACUUACAUGCAUCGGUUGCUGUCCAUUGAUCUCCUAAGUACCUAUUCGGCCAAAAGGCAUCUCUUGGAGUGUCCAUUCACACCUUGGCCGAACCUAGACAUGUCCAUUGCUCUCCCAUACAUUCACCAAGCCUUCAAGUUUAUUUCCUUAGCCAUGAAGCUGCCCAUUGAAGUUCCAUUCAGCCGAAUUUGGACAUAGCCUUUAAAGAUACAUUUCUAGAUUAGUUUUACACAUUUAAAGCCGAAUUACUUAGUCUUUAAGCUUGUUUAGUAUGACUAUUCGGCUAUCACCUGAACUCUAUAAAUAGUUCAUUUCUCUUUGUAAAAAGGUUACAGAAUUUGAUCAAUUAAACUUAAUAGAACUUUUGUUCUUGUGAGGUUACCUCCUCUCUUCUUUCGUUCGAGUCUCGAAGUGACUUAUCUAGCUUGCUAGUGGUGUCAAUCCGAACUCCAUUGAACUUAUCACCGAAUCGGUGUGGCGUUCAACCAUAUUUUUAUACCUUUGGUUCUUACCUCUAUAUAGGUAUUGGGUCAAGGUUCGCUUCUAUCCUUCAUCAAAAUUCACCUUAAGCAAUAUAAGACUCGGGGCAAUACUUUUUAGUAUUGAAUCAUUCUUAAAGUUUGAGUUCUUUAUCCAUUUCCAUCUAUUUAUCAUCUUUGUAACUUAAUUCUUUGUUAAAACGAACCUAUCUUUCAUCCAUUCUCCAAAACCCAUCUUUUGAACCCAUUUUGCCUACCUUCCGCUUAUAAAACAUUCAAACUCCAUCUAUCUACAAAUUUGAACGAGCUUCUCGUCGACGAUCGGGCAUCUUAAGUGAACCUGACUCAAUCAAUUGGGCCGGAUCGCAUCAUUUGGUAUCAGAGCUGGUAAAAACGAGAAGUACGAGCACUCAAAGUCAAUUUGAAAUAGGUGCGUAAAAAAAUUAAAAAAAAAAAAUUAAAAAAAAAAAUUGAAAAAAAAAAUUGCAUACGGUUUAGGUGCGGACGAAAAGAACGUGAAAGAUCCGUAAAAAAAAAAAAAAAAAAAAAAAAAAAAAAAAGAGUCUGGAGACACUUCAAUAGAAAUUUUUCCAAAAUCUCAUUUUACACCCUUUUAUAUCCCCCGUAGUGAAAUUUCACGCAAUUAAAAAAAAAAAAAUUCGAUAUAAAAAAAAAAAAGUGUUUCGAGUUUGUAAGUUUGGCAUUUUCUUCCAUUCAUCUUCUAAGCCACACUUAGCCUAAAACUUUUCUUGUUUCUUUUAGCCUACCCGUAACCUAACAUCAAUCCCUUGUAAAGUCAUUUGAAGCCGACCCAUUGAAUUACGAUAAGGUCACGACGAGUCGCUUACGAAAUCACGAGAGGAGAUUGAGCGGAAAAAGGCACGAGUGUUGAGAGAGCAUUAGAGAGAAGAAAAAGCCAUUAAAGAGUGUAAACACGAGUGGAGUGUUAUACAAUUUUCAUUGUGAGUGAAACGUGAGAUUUUUGUGGUGAGGUAUUUACUUUCUAUUUUAUUUUAAUCAUUUAAAAAAAAAAUCAUGUCACAAGAAUUUUCCGAAUCAGAUUUCCAAUAUUUGAAGCAAGAGAUACGUAGAAUUGUGAAAUCAAAUUUUGAUAAAUUGCAUGAUCGAUUGGAUCGAGUGGAGGAAAGAGCCAGUCGAAAACAAAAUCCACCAAGUCGAGAAACGGAGUCGAGAUCAUCACGGCGAUACGCGUCCAAAGACUACUCGCUAAGAGAUUCUUAUCGGGAUUCCUAUUCGUCAAGGAAUUCAAGACGCGACAACCUAGAGCUUGCAACUUCUCGACAUGACAAACAAGAGAGGACGAGUUAUUCAUCGUAUGACUCAAAGAAGUCCUUCCCGGAGGAUUGUUCCCGAAGAAAUGGACAAGAAGCCUAUGAAAAUAUUUUCUCUUCCUUUGGGGCAAAUGAUUAUAUUUUUGAUUCUUUCGUGUCGACUGCACAUUGUAAUGAAAUCGAAAAAGCGAGAGAAAAAGAAAAUGAAGAGAAAGAAUUCGAAAAAGAAAUUGAGAUUGUACAAGAGUACGAGCGAGAAAAAGAAAUCGAAAGAAAAGAAAAAGAGAUUGAAAAAGAAAAAGAAAUCCAAAAAGAGAGUGAGGUCAAAAAUAAAAGUGAAAAUGAGAAAGGAAAUGAAAAGAGAAAAAAAGAAGUUGAGAUUAGAAAAGAAACGAGAGAAAAAGAGAUAAACGAACCAGAAAAAGUGAGGAGCAUUUCGACUAAUCCAUAUGAAACUUGUUCUUGUUCUGUUUCUUCUUUCCAGGUGCCCGAGAUAUCAAACGAUAAUUUUCAACUUCACUACCUUUCCGAUGAAAGACAUUUUCAUAUGGUCAGUAUAGGUAAGGUUGAAGAUGAAAACGUGCCUCAAGAGUUCAAAGGUAAGAGAGGUGAGGAAAUGUUAACGAUCGAGUCACGACCCCCAGGUUUGAAAAUUGUUGAAAUACUUUUUAGUGACUUAAUUUCUAAACGCUCUCCUUAUUUUGGUCUGAUUAAUUGCUACUCCCUGAAUGUGGUUGAUGUUGUUCGGUACGAACGACAAACUAAAGAUUUGGUUUUGCAUGAUGACGGUAUUUCACGAAAGGCGAUUAAAUUCUUCAUUUGUGACAAUUUUGUGCACCAAUUAACGCUUUGUGGAAAAUCCAUGAAUUUGUGCAAGUAUGAAUUGAUGAAUGUAAAAAGUUUUAAUUGUUUGUCCCUGUGUAUGCAAAAAUCCCAUUGGUUUAACGUGUUUGGUUUAAUGAAAUUUUUGCUACAUUUUGGCAUGAAUACUCAAAAUCAAGUUUUUAAACCCGGAAUCUAUUUUGGUUCGUUUUAUGGGAAAGUCAAGCUUCAUCAAUUUUGUGUGAACAAUUUCUAUUGUUUUGAUAAUUGGGUGUUGAAUAAGGAACUGAGGUAUGAAAAAUUUGAUUUCAAUUUAAAUUCAUUCCUUAAUCCAUUUUUGUGGUUGUAUUUGAAGUUCGCAUUUCAUUUCGUUAAGGUUAAUUCAGCCACAGAGAUUCGACUAGACUAUAUUUCCGAGGAGAGAAGAUUUAUGAUGAUCGACAAAGGUAAAAAUGAUCCUUGUUUUUCCAUCCCUCGAGGUAAACAAGGUAUGAUUUACGAUAACUUUAAAAUUUCUCUGCCCUAUUCGGUUGGUAAUAAAAUUUUUGUUGAAGAAUUGGUUGUUGCAAGGAAUUUAAAUUGUGAUGUGUUUAACUGUUCAGCUUUAUUUAAAAAUGAUCUUUGUUUUACUACUUUCAAAGGUAAGGCUCAUGAACUUUUUGAAACAUCGUUGUUAUCUUUAGGUGGUGACAAAGAUUGUUUUGUUGAUUUGAUUCGUUAUUCACAUAUUGGUUAUGACUUGCGGAAACGAUUUGAGACAUUUGAUUGCCUUAGAACAUGUUCAUUUUCGUUUCGAAUAAUUGAUGAGGCAUUAACGAGUAAAUUAGUUUGUUUGCAUGGUUGUGAACAUGUUGCUUUGCAUCCGUCCACUCCCAUGGGAUUUUCUUAUUCUAUUUUGCUUGCAUUUGGAUUACAAAUUUAUUUGAAACCAUUUUUGUUAACUCAUGGUUAUUCCUUUCAGUUGUCCCAAUUCCAAUCUAUCCCGUUCGACCGAGGAAAGCUAAGUAAAAGUUGCUGCGAUCGAGUGAACCAAUGGCUCGAUUUGGGACAAAUCGCUUUAAAGAGGGAGGGGAUGAUACGGCCACGCCUCGGGCACACUUUUGGACCAGCUCCCUAAGCAUUGCUUGCAAAUCCAUGCAAGCUGAAAUAGUUCAAUUCCUUUUCGUUGAGCUCCGUUUAGCUCGAUUCCAGCUCACUCGAGCUCAAGUCAGCUCAAUCGAGCUCAAUUUAGCUACAAUUCAGCUCAUUUAUUUUAUUGGUUGAAUAAUUAAAGUAUUUAUUAACUUAGUUUAAGUUAUUACAGCUCAUAAUUAUGUUUUGAUUUAUUUCAUGUUUUUAAAGUUGUUUUAGCCGAAUUUAAUAUGUUUAGCUUAAGACUUUAUUAAAUUUGUCUAUUUUAAAUUUAUGUGUUAAUUAAUAUAUCUAUUUUUAAUUAAUUUGUUCAUGUUUCAUGUAGGUACAGCCGAAUGUGGAGAUUCAUUCAAGCUAGGUGCAUGAACGUCUAUUUACAAUGCAUGAUGUGGGAACACAAUUAAAGAUGAUUCAUGAAUGGGCUGGUUCAAUGAACGUAAGGAUGAUGCAUGAAUGAGUUAAUACAAUGAAUGGAAGAAUGCAUGAAUAUUCACUUACAUGCAUCGGUUGCUGUCCAUUGAUCUCCUAAGUACCUAUUCGGCCAAAAGGCAUCUCUUGGAGUGUCCAUUCACACCUUGGCCGAACCUAGACAUGUCCAUUGCUCUCCCAUACAUUCACCAAGCCUUCAAGUUUAUUUCCUUAGCCAUGAAGCUGCCCAUUGAAGUUCCAUUCAGCCGAAUUUGGACAUAGCCUUUAAAGAUACAUUUCUAGAUUAGUUUUACACAUUUAAAGCCGAAUUACUUAGUCUUUAAGCUUGUUUAGUAUGACUAUUCGGCUAUCACCUGAACUCUAUAAAUAGUUCAUUUCUCUUUGUAAAAAGGUUACAGAAUUUGAUCAAUUAAACUUAAUAGAACUUUUGUUCUUGUGAGGUUACCUCCUCUCUUCUUUCGUUCGAGUCUCGAAGCGACUUAUCUAGCUUGCUAGUGGUGUCAAUCCGAACUCCAUUGAACUUAUCACCGAAUCGGUGUGGCGUUCAACCAUAUUUUUAUACCUUUGGUUCUUACCUCUAUAUAGGUAUUGGGUCAAGGUUCGCUUCUAUCCUUCAUCAAAAUUCACCUUAAGCAAUAUAAGACUCGGGGCAAUACUUUUUAGUAUUGAAUCAUUCUUAAAGUUUGAGUUCUUUAUCCAUUUCCAUCUAUUUAUCAUCUUUGUAACUUAAUUCUUUGUUAAAACGAACCUAUCUUUCAUCCAUUCUCCAAAACCCAUCUUUUGAACCCAUUUUGCCUACCUUCCGCUUAUAAAACAUUCAAACUCCAUCUAUCUACAAAUUUGAACGAGCUUCUCGUCGACGAUCGGGCAUCUUAAGUGAACCUGACUCAAUCAAUUGGGCCGGAUCGCAUCACAUUAUCCUUUGCAUUUCUUGUCUCCACAUUUGGAAUUCAAAUUCAGAAAAUUCUUCAGACAUGCUUCAACAAAAUAUUAGAAAACAAAAGUUAAAUUAGAAAGAAUAAUAAUUCUCACCACAAAUCUCUCAAGUUCGCUCAAAAAGAAAAAUUCACUCACUCGUGUUUGAACUCUCUUUUAGGCUUUUUUUUCGAAUGAACUCACGCUCUCUUGCCUUUUACCACUCGACCUCGUCUCACAAAUUCGUAAUUCGUCUCGAUAGACUUAAUUUGCUGCUUGAGGGUCGGUUUCAAAAUGGGUUACAAGGGAUAAUGUCGGGUGUAGGGUAGGCUGAAUAAAGAAGAAAAUUGGUUUAAAGUGUGGCGUUGGGAUGGGUAAAUAAUGGUAGGAAGGGAAACUUGAUGAUCGGAGUAAUAAGUGAUAAUGAUAAAAACUCGCAAGACUUUUCACUUUUUUUUCUUCUUUUUUUUUAAGUCGAUUUUUUUGUCACUUCUUUUUUUCCUUUUUUUGGGUAAAUAAUAGUAAACAAAAUACAAGGAAGAGAAAAAAAAUUAAAUUCCAACUCAAUUUUUUUUUGAUUUUUUUUGACUUUUUUUUACAUUACGAACCUACUCCGAGCUUGAUACGAAUGUCGACAUUCCUUGUUUUAGUAGCUCUGAUACCAAAUGAUGUGAUCUGGCUCGGUUGAUUGAGUCGAUUCACUUGAUUACCCGAUCGUCGACGAGAAGUUUGUUCGAUUUUGUAGAUAGAUGGAGUUAGAUGAUUUUUUUAUAGCGGAAGUUGAGAAAAUGGGUUCAAAAGAUGGUUUGGAUAGAUGUUUGAUAGGCUCGGUGAAAUAAAGAAAUAUUGUUUAUAAUUUAAUAGUUAAAAUGGAAUGGAAAAAUAGAACUCAAGCGAAGAACGAUUCAAUACUAUAUGAAGUAUUGCCCCGGGACUUAUAUUGCUUAAGGUGGGUUUAAUGGAAGUCGAAGAUGGACCUUGACCCGUUACCUAUAGAGAGGUAGGAACCAAAGGUAUAAAAAGGUGGAUGAACGCCACACCAGGAUGGUGAUAAGUUCAAGAAGUCGGGUUGACGCCACUAGCAAGCUAGAUAAGUCAGAACGAGACUCGUACGAAAUAGGAUAGGAGGAAACCUCACAAUCAAGUUUUCAAUAAUCAAAUUCUGUAUCCUUUUACAAUAAACAAAAUAAACUAUUUAUAGGCUCUCUAAUGCCUAUUAAAAUUCAGCUACUAAUGUGUUCACACAACAAUUAAAAAUGUUCACACUUCAAGCAUUAAAUCUCUGUUCAUGGAUAGUGUAAGUUCAUGCAUGGUUGAAUAAUCAUGUUUCUUCCCAAAACCCGUUCAUGCAUGCUUAACCAAUAAGAAAGCUUCCUUGUUCCAUGAAUGUGCAUCUUCAAUUCAUAUCCAACCCCUCUUGGAUGAAUGCUAGGUGCAUGGGUAAUGUAUCUCUCUUAAUUAAAGCUUUAAUGAUGGGCUGGUUCAUGAAUGGAAGCAUGUACCUUGUAAAUUCGUUCUCCCCUUUGUACAUGCACAUUAUACAUUCAAUGUGAUGAAUUAAGGUAAUAUUCCCUCCCUUUGGACGUUCAUGAAUCCACCCAUACAUGUAUAGGAGUUGAUUGGUCAAAUUGAGGUGUGAAUGGCUUAGAUGCUGCCUUGGGAAUACGAUCGGCCAAGCUUGUGCUUUAAGUUGCUGGACACCUUUUGGCCAAAUAGGUGCCUUGUGGAGCCAAAUGGAUCAGCCACCAUUCAUUGAAAGAGGCCUUACAUGCACCGUCCCAUACAUUGAACCUAUCAUGCAUGAACCUUGUUUAAUUACUCUCCAAAUUCAACUCACCUACAAAAACACAUGAACCAAAAUUAAAUCAAAUAAAAUUCAGCUGAACAAACAUUAAUAUAAUUUAGACACACUAAUUAAACAUAAAUUAAAUUAGACAAAUUUAAUAAAGUCUUAACAAGACAUAUUAAAUUCGGCCAAGACACAUUUAAAACAUGUAAUAAGUCAAAAAAUAAUUAUGAGCUGUAGUAAUUUAAGCUAAAUUAAUAAAUUACUUAAUUUAUUCAGACAUUAAAAUAAAUGAGUUGAAAUAAACUUAAGGCAAGCUCAAACGAGCUAAAGUAAGCUAAAUUGAGCUCAAACGAGCUAAAAUAAGCUCAUGUGAGCUAAUUCGAGCUGGGAAAAACUAAGAUUGAGCUUGUUGAGCUGAGAUUGAGCUUCAUCUUGCACUUGGGGCCCUCGUGUUUAGGCCAAUCAUGAUAGCAACGAGUGGUGCCACAACAUGAUGCGAUUGAGAUCACAUCAGAAUUAUUUAAUAAACUUUAACUCAUGCACUAAUAAAUUAACCUAGUAACUAGAUUAAUUAAAGAAGCAACUCAUUAAAUUAAAUUCAUCAAAUAAACUCAUUUAAUUAAACUAAGAUGAGUUGUAUUAAUGACCAGCAACUCAUUUAUUAAACUAAGAGGCUUAAAUGCAAGUAUUAAAAUGCAAACUAAAUGCAAAGCUAAAAGAAAUAAAUAAAAGUUCAAUUUAGUUGGAACGGGUUCAAGGAGCGGAAAUUGAGCUGAAAUUAGUUUGCAAAAUGUUGCAAGGACACUUUAUUAAGCUGGUCCCAACUCGAUCUAUUUCUCCAACCAAAGCCUCGCCCCACACUUGAUUAACUAAGGCCGAAAUGGCCUCCUUGAAUUGCUUAGCUCGAGCUCGCGUAAUUGGUCCUUGAGGCAGCACCAUUGAGUCCUUGCUCGAACUUGAUGCACUCCAGGUUGCGAUCAUAUCAUUUCUUUUAGCUUUGCAUUUAGUUUGCAUUUUAAUACUUGCAUUUAAGCCUCUUAGUUUAAUAAAUGAGUUGCUGGUCAUUAAUACAAUUCAUCUUAGUUUAAUUAAAUGAGUUUAUUUAAUGAAUUUAAUUUAAUGAGUUGCUUCUUUAAUUAAUCUAGUUACUAGGUUAAUUUAUUGGUGCAUGAGUUAAAGUUCAUUAAAUACUUCUUUUAAUUAACUAGUUGUUGGAAUAAAUGAUGCAUAAGUGAGUGUUCAUUUAUUUACGUAGUUGUUAAUUUGUUUAAAGUUUAAUAAUUGAAUUAAUGUGACGGUUACAUAUGUUUUAAUUGCAGGUGACUUUUCAAUUCACAAAGGCUAUUACGCAUUCAAUAAAGGAGACUUUUCAAGUUAUUUUGGUUACAAAAGAGGGGGCUGUUAUAAAGGAAGCAUUAAGCAUCAUUAAAAGAGAGUUUAAAGGAGCAUUUCAUGUCCUUUAAAAUCUGGUAGCAGCUUGUUCAAAUACCCCAACGUUUUUUUUGCUACUUAAUGGACAAUUUAUGCAUUGCAAAUUUCAUUAAAGUGGCUGGAGUCUAUUCAACUAGCCAAAGGGAAAAUCAAGAGUCAUUUUUCAAGCCUUUAAGGACAUUAAUUUAGCUAGUUAAAGAGAGGAGUUAUUGACUCUAGAAUUUCAAAAGUCUUUGAUUUAUAAUUAGCCCUUUAAUAGCACUUUACUAUGUGACCAUUCGGCUAGCUCAUUUUAGCCUUAUAAAUUCUUGUAACAAGCCUUUUGGGGAUACUACUUUUUUUUGGAAUAUUUAAUUAAUGAUAUUCUGCCAAAUUUGUGAGGCAAACUUUUCUCUAUUUUCGUUCAAAGAUUUGUUGGCUACCUAGUGUUCUAGUUGUGUCAUCCAUUUUCUUUGUUGAAAACUGAACUUAUCACUACUCGUAGUGUGGCGUUCAAACAUACCAAGGUUCCUACUUUUCUAAGUAGCGGGUCGAGGUUCUCAUAUUCUCCAUCUGACCACCUUGAAAACUUAUAAACAUUUGGGUCAAUAUUUUCUAAUAUUGGUUCGUGUUUGUUUUUUUAGAUCAUUUUCAUUUUCAUUUCCAUUCCAUUCCAUCUUUUCGUUUCAUUUUAACCAAACCUACAAAAACUUUAUAUCCAUAAAUCCAUCUACAUAAACUUCAUAUCCAUAAACCCAUCUUUGAAUCCUUUUACAUAGCUUUCGCCAUUAUUUACGUUAAAACAUCCUUUUGAACAAAUCGAAUGCUACUUCUUCAUAGACGAUCGGGCAAACUCACAUACGACUCGACUCACCCCGAGGCGGAUCGUAUCAUUGCCCGAUCAUCUACGAGAAAGUGUCGAUGAAUUGGAUGAAGAAAGUUAUUUCAGUUUAAAGAGGCUUGGAUGUCUAAGUUAGGUUCAAAAGUGGUUAAUAAAUUAGGUUCGAGAAAGAGAAGAGUUAGGAUAUUUGGUAGGUUGUUUCGGUUCGGAAAAGGAACGAAAUAUGGUUGAUUGAAGUACUUGGGUAAUGGAUGAAAAUAUAGCAAGAUUGGUCCUAAGAAUAAGUUGAACCGAUAUUAGCAAAUAUCGACCCGAGACUUAUUAGUUCUUAAGAUGGAAUGGUUGAAACAAGAUAGACCUCGACCCACUAUCUAGGCAGAUAGGAACCUCGGUAUAAAGUGUUUUGAACGCCACACUAAAAGCUAGUGAUAAGUUCAGUUUCGUAAAAGAAAGAGGUUGACGCCACUACUAGGUAGAUAAGCCAACAAAAUCUUAAACGAGACUUAGAGAAGGAAAUUCUCAGAAGAACAAAGGUUUGACUAUAAAUUUGGCAAAAAGUCCUUUUAUAUAGAAAUGGGUAAACUAUUUAUAAUUUAACAUGUGUAGCCGAAUGGACAAAUUAGCUAGCUUAAAGACUAAGUAAUUUCGGCUAUGAACUAAUGAUACGAGCACGCCCCGCGAACUUUAUCGAGCAAGUCUGUCAAGCCGAGCAAUGACAUGUUGGCAAGCUGAUCCAAGCUCGUUUCCAGCUCCACGAGCUCCGUCUAGCUCAAAUCCAGCUUAUUCGAGCUCAAUCCAUCUUGCCUGAGCUAAACCGAGCUCACUCCUAGCUCACUUUCAACUUACGAGCUAAACCUUAGCUCAACUUCAGCUUAGGAGUUUAGCCUCAGCUCAACUUUAGCUCACGAGCUAAAGCUUAGCUCAUUUUAGUUUAAACUCGGUUUUGUCUUUAAUGCAUUAAAUAAAAAUUUGCACAUAUUUAUUUAAGCAUUAAACUUGUCUUAUAUUAAUAUUUGUUAUUAAUAUGCCACAGUCACUACAUAAAUUGAUUAUGUUCACAUAGCUGAAUUAAUGCAUGACAUUAAUGUGUUCACAUCAUGCCGAAUUUAUGAGUGUCCAUGAGAUAUCUUAAUGACUUGUUUAUUUCAUGUAGGUACAUCCCUUUGGACGGUACAAUGUAUGGAUGAAGAAACAUCUCUUUUGGGCAUUCCACACUUGUGAAUGAAGAAGUAUUAAAUGCUGGUGCAUGUACGGCUAGAUGCAAGGUUUCUACAAAUUCAUGCAUGUGUCGAAUGCAUGUAUGGACAUUAAAGGCUGGUCCAUGAAUGGAUCAAAUGCAUGGGAUGAUAGAAUGCAUGAAUGGCUUAAGUGCAUGUAUGGUGGCUGUCUCCUAACUUUCCAAGGCACUUAUUCGGCCAAGAAGUAGCUGUUCACACUUUGAAUUGACCUAUAAGCUACUACACAUGCAUGGAUGGGUUCAAGAACGUCCAAAGGAAGGAAUUAACUCAAUAAUUCAACACAUUGAUUGAAUUAAGUGUAUGCACAAAGGGGAGAACGAAUUUACUAGGUUCAUGCUGCCAUUUAUGAACCUACAUGCUAUUAAAGAGUUUAAUUAUGAGGAUACAUGUUCCAUAAAAGUGCAUGAACGUCCCAAGGAGAUGAAUGCAACCUUUGGUGCACAUACAAGUCACUUGAAGCCUUUCUUUAUGAUUAAGCAUUCAUGCACACACUUAGGGGGAAGAAAGUGUCCAUUCAACUAGUUCAUGAAUCUGCCAAAUUUAUUAACUAUUUUAAUACAUUAGUGUGAAUGUUUUUAUUAUUUUGUGAACACCUAGAUGCCGAAUUUGAAUGGUCAUUUAUGUGCCUAUAAGUAUUUGUUUCUUUCAAUUGUAAGGGACUUUUUGCCAAAUUUUUUAUUGAAUUUAAUCUUGUGAGAAUUUUAUUCUCUAAACUUUGUUUGAGACUUUGUUGACUUAUCUACCUAGUAGUGGCAUCAACCCUAUUUCUUUCACCCAUAUACCGAGGUUCCUACUUUGCUAAGUAGCGGGCCAAGGUUUUAUCACUUUCAUUCUCCACCUUGAAAGCCUAUAAGCAAUUGGGUCAAUACUCUCUAGUAUUGGUUUGUGCUUGCUUUUGAGUUCCUUCUUUCCAUUCUUUCAUUUACUUUAAACCGAACCUUAAUAUUCAUAUUUUAAACCCUUUCUUUGAACCCCUUGAAUAGCUUUCGCAUAAUUUAUUUAGAAACAUUUUUUUGAACAAACCGAACGAUAUUUUCUCGUAGAUGAUCGGGCAAACUCGCAUACGACUCGACUCUCCCCAAGGCGGUUCGUAUCAACUAACUAGAAUGUUCUAGAACAAAAACAGUAAUUAGCUGAGUCUUGAUUCGGCUGAAUGGGAAUGCAUUGGACAGCUUCACGCUUAAGAAAAUGUACUUGGAUGAAGGUGAAUGAAUGGCAGCUCUCUUGCUUGUCUAGGUUUGGCCUUAAGAUGGAAGAAGCAUUAAAAAGGCAACUCUUGGCAGAAUGGACACCUAGGAAUACCAUUGGUUCACUCACAUUCAUUUGGUCAUGCAUGGUUCUUGGGUGGGAGCUUGAAUCUGGCCGUACAUGUUGAUGUGAUCCGGCCCGGGUAGUUGAGUCGAAUUCACUUAGUUGCGCGAUCGUCGUUCGAGAGAGUCGUUUGUGCCUCGGAUUUUAGUGAUAGUAGUAUAAGAAUUAAAAUAGGAUAAGCGGAUUGUAGCAAAGAUGGGUGAUGGAUAAAUGGUUCGGUUUGGGUUAACAGAAUGAAAGUUGAAAAAAAUGGAAAAUGGAAAAACAAACUCAACGUCAGGAAUGAUUCAACACUAAAAAGUGUCACCCCGAUUCCUAUAUUGUUAAGGUGAAAAAAUUAUGGAUAGAUGGAUAGGUGAACGCCACACCAAAAUUGGUGAUAAGGCAAAACAAGACGAUUGAUGCCACUAGCACAAGCCAGAUAAUUCUUUCGAAACUUGUACGAGAUAUGAGAGGAAGCAACCUCACAAGAACAAUGUUCAUUAAACAAAUUGGCAAAAGUCCCUUUACAACGAAAUGUGCAAACUAUUUAUAGGCUAACAAAUAGUAGCCGAAUGGACAAACUAAUAGCUUAAAGACUAAAUAAAUUCAGCUAUGAAUGCACUAGAAUAAUCUAGAACAAGUCUUAAUUUGCUAGGACUAGAUUCGGCUGAUGGGAACUCCAUUGGACAGCUUCAUGUGUAAGCAAAGCAUCUUGGAUGAAUGUGAAGUCUUGGGAACUCAAUAGCUUGUCUAAAUUCGGUCAUGGGAUGAAUGAAACAAUCAAGAAGUGUCUCUUGGCCGAAUAGACACCUAGGGAAGUCAUUUGGGCAGCAAACAAUUCAUGUAUUUCACCCCAUACAUUCGGCCAUGCAUUGAACUAGAAGGGAGCUUGAAUCUGGCCGUACAUGAACAUUCAUUAAAUGCUCUUCAUUCAUGCAUGUGUGCCGUCCAAAGUGAAUGUAUCUUCUUAACCCACAUGCAUGUAAUUAACCUCCCAUGUACAUGAACUUAAUUUCCCCCAAUCAUUGAACCAGGCCGUGCAUGAAUCUUCUCAUUCAUUGAACUUUCCCGUUCAUGCAUCUCUUCAUGAAUGAACCUUCCACAUUCGGCUAACCUACAUGAAUUAAACACACAAUUAAAUAAAAUAUAACUAUUCAUAAAAUCAUAAUUAAUAAUUAAACAACUUAAUGAAAUUAACUGAAUUCAAACAUAAUAUUAUAAGUCAACUAUGAAGUAAAUUCGGCUAGCUCAAAAAUAGUCAAACACUUAAUGAGCUAAAUUGAGCAUAAGCUGUAGCAAACUUAAUUAUAAACUAGAUUAAAACUUAAUUUAUUGGAAUGAAAAAGAAAUGAGCUAGAUCGAGUUGAAUUCUAGCUCAAACGAGCUGAAUCAAGCUCAAGUGAGCUGAUGGGAGCUGAAUGGCGCAUGGGGAGCUGAAGAGGAUCUGAGAUCGGAUUGAAAAAUGGUGCAUGGAGUCUUCAAGGAGUUAUCCUUAGCUCCUCCAACGUCAUAAACCUUGUUGUCAUCCCAAAUGUGCAACACCAAAGCUGAUAAGGCGUCUUGAAUUCGCUUGGUUCGAGCUCGAGUCAUAGGGCCUUUUGGAAGCUCGAUUAGAUCUUGAUUUGCAUUCGAAGAUGCCCCGGGCGUGCUCACAUCAUUCCCCCCAUCUUCAAAGUGACUUGUCCUCAAGUCGGGCCAUUUGCUUGCGAAAAAGAAUUCUUCGUCACUAGGCCCUUGGUUGUCGAAUGGGGUAGAAUGGCUCACAAUAACCUGAAAGUCACACAAGACUCGAAAGGACAAAAUAUUAGUCACAUGUCCUUCCUCUUUUUGGAUAGGCCAUUUCAAAGUUUCAACAACAAAAUAAAGAAGAAGUUUAGGGAAACACCGAAUUAAGAACAUACAAUCUCGCUCCAGCUUCUUAAUCCAAACUUGGGCAAAUAAACCAAUGCCGGGAUCAAAAAUAAAAGUGGAUCUUACCUUGUUCUUUGUUGAAAGCAAACUAGAUCCAUGAAGCAUUCGUGACUCAAAAUUUUGAACAACAAAAGUCCACGACUGAAAUUCUAUGAACAACAAUAUAAAACCAAAACUUUUAUUUAACAUUUGCAACCUUUCACAAAUCCACAACUUUGUGUUUAGAUUUAAAGACAAAACAUCAAAUAGGCAUAAAUGGUUUACACAUCCACUCACACGAAAUUCAGAAGGCUUGAUUUCAAUUAAUAAUGAUCCAGAGUAACAAAGCUUUUGACAGUUAGAAUCUCGACAGUCAAAAAUCCUUGAAUCAAAUCCCUUGAUCAUCAAUAAAUAAUAAUCACCAAGAUCAAAAAUGAAGUUUUUGUUUACCAUUUCACGCUGACUUGAAUAUUUAUUGGCUGUCAGCAUGGUAGGAACAUGAAGCAAACUAAAGUUAUGAGUAUGCAAAUUAUGUUCAAGCCUCUUGGACCAUAGCAUUAAACACCCUCCAUCAAAAUCAAAUGAAUUAGGCAUUUUACAAGUCAACGUUUUAUCACACAAACGAAACAAAGGAAAAUUAGACAUGCACGUUUUUAAACAUUCAUAUGUCUCGAUUCUCAUCCUUACAUUAUCACCACAAUCAAACAAAUGAAAAAGGUUACAUGAUUCAUUAUCUUGUACAACCAAACCUUGCAAUUGCCGAUUAAUGAUUACUUCACCAACAUACUCAUCAACAACACAUUCUUUAUGAGUAGCACUUUUAUUAUCAACACUUGAAACAAACAAAUCAUUCUUAAUCAAGAAAGAAUAAUCAACCAUGCCAUGGUACAAGUGCUUUUCAAAACCCAAAACAUUAACAAAGUUUCUGUCGACAACCGAAUGAGGCUGAUGUGUUUUAAAAACUUCAAAACUCAUACCUUGCUUACCUUUUGGCAAAGGUGAACGAGGAUCAUUGAAAAUGUUACCUCUUUCAAUCAACGUAAACCUUUUCUCCUCGCAAAGGUAUUGAAGUCGAAAUUCUUUGCUCGGAUCUUCAGAAACCUGAAAAGGAACAACACGAGGAAAUCUCACAUGUGGGUUAGUAGGAACACUACUCACUUUUCUUGUUCUCUUGCAUCUCUUUUUCUUAUUUCAUUUUCAUCGACAAUAUUCAUUUCUUGCUUAAUAUCUUUUCUCUCUUCAGACUCAAUUUCUUUUUCAAUUUUCUUUUUCUUCUCACAUUCUUUUUCACUCUCGAUCUCUUUUUCUUUUUCCUUCUCUUUUUCUUUUUCACUUUCUUUUUCAGUUUCGUUUUUCUUUUUCUCACUUUCUUUUUGCUUUCUUUCAAACUCUUUUUCUUUCAUUUCUUUUUUUCUUUUAAAUUCUUUCUCACUUUUUUUCACUUUUAUUACAAGAGGAAGAGUACAAGAGGGAAUCAAAAUGAGAGACUUCUCAUUGAGAAUAAGAGGAGGGGUCUUCAUAUAGACAAUAAUCAUCUCUUCGAGAUUGAUUCUUCAUCGAUGAAUAACUUGGUGUACACGAAGAUCGGCUUGUGCUUUCUUGUUUGCCACCAUAAAGGCUUCAAACUCGAAAUUUGUUUGACUUCGUCUCAAAUUCUUUGACGAAGAAGAUACAUGAUAUAGGUCUCUUCCCAAAUAGUCACUGGAUGAUUGUUUUCUUGAAAGACUUGAUUUCGUCCCUCGACUUUGCUCUCGUUGGGCUCUUGCUCGAUGAUCUCGCUUUUCUUGGAUAGGCUUGAUCUUUCUAUUGAGCAUGCACUCCAUCUCUUUCAACAAAUACUGAAAAUCAAAUUCUAAAAUUUCUUCUCGCAACAUGAUUUAGGAACAAAAAUAGUCCUUAAUACGAACUUUGAUAAAAUUGCCAUUUUGCCCCUAAACUUUCACAUAUUUACACUUUUGCCCCAAGGCUCGUAAAUUAAACCUCAUCCUAUUUAUAUUUUAAGACAUGCUGAUCAUUUUUCCCUUCUAUAGAAACAUCAAAUUCACACUCUAACAUGUACUUAUGAAUAUUAGGUAUUUUUACGGAUUAUGUCAUUUUACUCGUUUUUACAAAAAAUCACUUAGCAAAAGUUGUUUAACACAAUCUCAAACUUCAUAUUCUACCAUAAAACAUCAAAAUUCAUACAUAUCAUCCAUGGGUAAAAUUUUAAAUAUAAACCCUAGCUCAAAAUAUUGGUAGAAAUAGGUCAACCAAGCUACGAGGAUUUCAAAAAUGUAAAGAACAUUAAAAAUGGGCAUAGAAAUCACUUACAAUCAAGGCUUAAAAGUGUUGAAACCCUAGCUAUGUUGGAGAGCAAAAUUCAGCAGCAACUUAUGGAGAAGAUGAUCAUUUUUGUGUUAUUUUUCCCAUUUUAUUUAAUUUAAUAUUCAAAUGACCAAAAUGCCCUUCCUUACUAAACUUUCAAAAAUUCCAUCCAUUUCCAAUUUUUGUCCAUAAACUUAGAAAUUGGUAAAAUUGCUAUUUAAGACCUCCUAAUUAAUAUUUCAAAGCAAUUUCAUACUAGAAACUUCUAGAAUGCAAGUUUUGUAACUUAUUCAAUUUAGUCCCUAACUUCAAAUUGAGCACUUUAUGCAUAGAAUUUCUUCACGAAAUUUUUACACAAUCAUGCAAUCAUAUCAUAGACCUCAAAAUAAUCAUAGAAUAAUUAUUUCUAUCUCAGAUUUGUGGUCCCAAAACCACUAUUUUGAUUGGGCCCUAAUUCGAGAUAUCACAAGUUAUGUAGCUGAAUUGAAGUGUAUUAAAUGGUGGAGUUAUUUAGUUCAAGAAUUCCAAGAGACUUGAGCUUUAUUUCAGCUUUUAAGAUGUGACCAUUCAGCUAGCCUUUUCCUAGCCUUAUAAAUAUGUGUGUAAUCAGCCUUUUGAGGAAGAACUUUUUGGACAUUUUGUUAAUGUUAUGCUGCCAAAUUUGUGAGGCAAAAUUUUCUCUAUUUUCGUUCAAGGAUUCGUUGGCUACCUAGUGUUCUAGUUGUGUCAUCCAUUUUCUUUGUCGGAAACCAAACUUAUCACUAUUCGUAGUGUGGCAUUCAAACAUACCAAGGUUCCUACUUUGCUAAGUAGCGGGUCGAGGUUCUCAUAUUCUCCAUCUGACCACCUUGAAAACUUAUAAACAUUUGGGUCAAUAUUUUCUAAUAUUGGUUCGUGUUUGUUUUUGAGAUCAUUUUCAUUCCAUUCCGUUCCAUUUUUUCGUUUCAUUAUAAUCGAACCAUCAUUCCACUUCACAUCCGUUGUUUGAAAUCCAAUUACUAUAUUUAUCUUUAUCUUUUAUUUUAUUUUUUUCUAUAACUAAACCUACAAAAACUUCAUAUCCAUAAACCCAUCUUUGAAUCCUUUUUACAUAGCUUUCGCCAUUAUUUACUUAAAACAUCCUUUGAACAAAUCAAAUGAUACUUCUUCGUAGACGAUCGGGCAAACUCACAUACGACUCGACUCACCCCGAGACGGAUCAUAUCAGUUCUUGAGGUUUUCGUUGGGUCGAUCUUGAUACGAACCAUCUCGGGAAGAGUCGAGUCGUAUGUAGAUUGCCCGAUCGUCUACGAGAAGUUACGUUAGGAUUAGUUGAGUUGUAGGUAUAGUCGAGUAGAAAGAGGGGUACGAAUGGAAUGGUAGGAACGAAAGGGAAGGUUCAAAAAUGGUAUGAACAAAUUGGUCGGUUUAGGUUCGAUUAGGUAAAGAAGGAAGAACGGGUUUGAACUACUAAAGGGACUUUCAAGAACCAAUUACCGAAAUGGUAUCGACCCGUUGAGUUAGCCUUUUGAGUUCGGUUAGAGGUUUGGUAAGGGAAACCUCGACCCACUAUCUAACAAGAUAGGAACCUCGGUAUGUUGAACGCCACACUACGAGUAGUGAUAAGUUCGGGUACGACAAAGAACACGGUUGACACAACUAGAACGCUAGGAACGCCAAACGAAUCUUUGAACGAAAUAUAAGAAAAGUUUGCCUCACGAUUUUGGCAGCAUAACAUUAACAAAAGUUUCAAAAGUUCUUUACAAAGUAACACAAGCCACAAUUUAUAGUGAAUGCAAGGGAUAGCCGAAUAGGCUCUUAAGGUAGCUAAAUGGUUUCUGAAAAUUCCAGAAUUUUUGAAGAAGCUUCCUUGAAGUUUCUUGUGCAUGGAGAAUAGUAAGGGGCAGCUUCUAGAUGCCUUGAUUCAAUAGAAAAACUGAAUGAAUUGUUUGGGAGCUGAAAUGCCAUCAAUAGGUUCGGCCAAAUGCUUGAAUUUGGAAUUAAUGCCGCUACUUGAUUCAGCCGAAUGUUCAUGUGAUUAAGGAGCUAUCUAGAGCACUUCAAUAGUCUUAGAAUGUGAACAAACCGAUUUGAACAGCCACACAUGUGUGAACAAACAAAACCGAACAGCCCUUGGUGUGAAAGGAAUAAUCGGGUGGGUGUGAACAGCCUUAAUUUGUCUUGGGCAGCCAAUCGGUCUUCUUGAAGAGUUGUAAGGUUUGGCUGAAUGGUCACUUAGGGAACACCAAAGAGCAGCACACCAAUUUUAAGUCAUCCAUGCACCUAUGCCAUCCAAGGGGUAAUGUACCUACAACAUUUAAUUCAUCAAAUUAAAUCCCUUUUAGACACAUUAAAUUUGACAACAUAGACAAAUAAAUCUUGCACCAUAAAUUAGGCUGGACAUAAUUAAUCUUUGUAAUAGUUAAGACAUAUUUAAUUGGUCCUAAUUAAUUAAGUACUUAAUUUAGAACAUAAUUAAAACAUGUCCAGAUUAUGACAAAUUAAUUAUUAAAACAAAUAACUAAAAAAACUAACAGCAACUUAAAUUAUUUAUUCCAGCAUAAUAAAUGCAAUAAUGAAAUGAGCUGAAAUGAGCUCGUUGAGCUAAGUUGAGUUGAAGUUGAGCUGAUUUGAGCUUGAAGGAGUAUGCAUGGUUUGCUUGGCUUGCUGGUCCAAGAGCUUUCAAGAAGUCCAGCAACAGUUUCACCCCAAACUCUAUCAACUAAAGCUGUUGUUGCAUCUUUGAAUCUCUUUGCUUGAGCUCGGGUGAUCGGUCCUACGGGCAAUUCGAGAGGAUUUUCAUUGGCAGCCGACAACUCAGGUGAUACGAGUCACAAAGGCCCAACCCAAGCUUAAGAAGGUGAUGGGCUCAAAUCAAGAAAAUCAAGAAAAUCAAGAUUCACUUUCUUGUUUUCAAGAAAAUCAAGAAAUCGAAUCUUGGCCCAAUUUUGCUGUUCGGAGCGAUUUCAAGAAUCAAGAAAAUCAAGAUUUCAAAUCUUGGAAAUCUUGGUCCAAGAAACCGAAUCUUGCAGCCAAAGCGCGUUGGAUCUCCAUUACGAGCGUCAACAACCCAAUUUCGGUAGGAGAUGGAUCACAAGCCCAAAUUCUUAAAGGCGAGGCCCAAUAAGCAAAUUCCCAGCCCAAUCAAGAAAUCCAUACAUAUUUAGUUGAAAAUCAGGCCAAAAUGUCAAAGGGCCCAAUUUGUAAACAUUUUAGUUGUUUAAGUUAAUUUUUAAGUUUUAGGAAUAUCACAUGUUAAAUUUGGCCCAAAACAGCCCAAUAGGAUGCAUGGCCGAAUUUUCCUUUGUUUUUUUAAUUAAGUUUAAAUUUUUUAAGUUUUCUAAUUAGAUUAGGAUUUGUUGGAGGCCUAUAUAAGCAUUGGCCAGCCACCCUUUGUAAACAUCUUAUUAUUAUUUUUUCUAUCAAAUUUCAGAUUUGUUGAGUGCAGAAUUUUCUUUGGGGUUUUCUCCAAGAAUUCUGUCUUGAGUUUUCUUUAGAAGUUGUUUUAACAAUCUUUUGAUUGUGGGAGCCAUCUUCAAUCUUCUUCUUGCCAUCGAUAUUCUUUGGAGGGGAGAUUAGAGCCGUUUGAAGGAAUUUGUGAAUUCUUUCGGGAAUUCAAGGGUUCUUAGGACUUUUCUUUAUUUCUUGCUGUUUCGAUUUGUUUCUUUAUUCCUACUUGUGCCGAUUCAUCAUCUAAUAUUUUGCUGUUCUUGUUUGUGUUUCAGCCUUGAUUCAAACUCCAAGAACUCUUCAUUUAAUCGGUUCUUUUAUUGGCCACAUAUAAUCGACUCAAAAUUCCCCAAAAUUUAGGGUUCUUGCCGUUUCCUAUUUCUUCUUGUUGGGUGAAAUUCGGCUGCUGAAAUUUGGGCAAUUCAUAUUGGGUGUUCAAUUGGACCGAAUCACAACUUAAAUUCACUUCUUGAACUGUUCAAUUUCACCUAUUUCUUUCUUUUCUUUUGCCGCCCAAAUCCCUAAUCUUCCAAUUAAAAAAAUCUGAUUGUUUCAAUCUACUUACUGUUUUGGUGUUCUUGGCAGAUUCGGCUUGUGGGAGUUCAUUCUUGGGAAUCAAUUUCGUGUUCUUGGUUUCAAGAAACCUCUUUCAUAAGUGUUUCGUUCCUUGAUUAGAUCUUGCUGAUUUUUAGUGUUCUUAUUCCAGAUUUUAAUUUUCCAGAUUUAAUCUCGUUCUUUGUUUGAUUUUAGAUCUAUUCAUUUAGAGCUUUCGUAGGAGUUUCCCGUGACUUGGCAACUCGAUCUUGGUCCGCGCGCAUCCCUUUAUCAUCAGGAGGGGUGGUUGUAUCAUUCCCCCUCUCUUCGAAGCGAUUUGCUCCCAAAUCAUCACCUAUAUCAUAGAAAGAGAGAUCAGCUACAUUAAAGUUAGCACUUACAUUGUACUCACCUGGGAGAUCAAGUUUAUAAGAAUUAUCAUUUAUUCGUUCCAAAACUUGAAACGGUCCAUCUCCUCUCGGCAAUAACUUCGACUUUCGCUGAGCUGAAAACCUUUCUUUUCGCAUAUGAACCCACACCCAAUCUCCGGGUUCAAAAACUACUCGUUUUCGGCCUUUGUUCGCAUUACGCACAUAGGACUCAGUCCUAGCCUCGAUAUUGACCCGCACCUUGCUAUGUAAAUCCUUGACAAAAUUUGCCUUUUUCUUCGCAUCUACAUGGACAAACUGAUCAGUAGGUAAAGGCAAUAGAUCUAAAGGAGUCAAGGGAUUAAAACCGUAAACAAUUUCAAAUGGGGAGAAUUUAGUCGCAGAAUGGACAGAACGAUUAUACGCAAACUCAAUAUGGGGUAGACAGUCCUCCCACGUCUUCAAAUUCUUCUGAACGAUGGCCCGAAGCAAAGUAGAUAGAACUCUAUUGACAACUUUCGUUUGGCCAUCGGUUUGAGGGUGGCAUGUGGUCGAAAAUAGAAGUUUGGUCCCUAAUUUACCCCACAAAGACCUCCAAAAGUGACUUAAAAAUUUUGCAUCUCGGUCUGACACGAUCGUACGAGGAAUGUCAUGUAGUCUAACGAUAUCCCUAAAAAACAAGUUCGUAACAUGAACGGCAUCGUCAGUCUUAGCACAGGCAAUAAAAUGAGACAUUUUUGAAAAUCUAUCAACAACAACAAAAAUAGAAUCCUUCCCCGUUUUUGUGCGCGGAAGUCCGAGAACAAAAUCCAUGGAGAUGUCAAUCCACGGUGCUUCAGGAAUGGGCAAUGGUGUGUACAAGCCAUGGGGUUGAACCUUUGAUUUAGCCUUUUUGCAGGCUAUACACCUUUCGCAAACUCGCUCCACAUCUUUUCGCAUCCGCGGCCAAUAAAAAUGUUCAUGGAGAGUGGCUAGUGUCUUAUUGACUCCGAAGUGUCCCAUAAGCCCACCACUAUGCGCCUCAUGCACUAAUAGGUCUUGAACAGAUCCACAAGGAAUGCAUAGUUUACCUUCUUGGAAAAGAUAGCCCUCGUACCUAUAAAAAUUUUCAAAAGGACCUUUCUCACAAGAAACAAAUAUCUCUCCAAAAUCGGAAUCGUUUACAUAGGAAUCUUUUAAAAAUGCAAAUCCAAGAAUCUUAGAAUCCAAAUAUGAUAACAGAGUAUACCUUCUUGAAAGUGCAUCAGCCACAAUAUUAUCUUUACCUUUCUUAUAUUUGAUGACAUAUGAAAAUGACUCAAGGUAUUCAACUCACUUCGCGUGGCGUCAGUUCAACUUAUGUUGGCCUUUGAUGUGCUUCAAGGCUUCAUGAUCGGAAUGAAUAACGAAUUCCUUAGGCCACAAGUAAUGUUGCCAUGUCUCAAGGGCUCGUAUGAGCGCGUACAUCUCUUUAUCAUACACCGGAUAGUUGAGUACGGCUCCAUUGAGUUUUUCACUAAAGUAAGCCACAGGACGUCCGUCUUGUGUCAACACGGCCCCGAUUCCAAUGCCCGAAGCAUCGCACUCGAUCUCAAAAGUCUUCGAGAAAUCUGGAAGGGUAAGCAAAAGAGCGUUAGUGAGGCAAUCUUUGAUUUUUAUAAAUGAUUUCUCUUGUUCAUUGUUCCAAAUAAAAGAAGAAUUUUUCUUAAUAACACUCGUAAGUGGAGCAGCAAUUGUGCUAAAAUUCAAAACGAAUCGUCGGUAGAAACUUGCUAGGCCAUGGAAACUUUGAACUUGCGUAACGCUCGUAGGCCUUGGCCAAUCUCGUAUGGCCUUAAUCUUCUCUUGAUCUACUUCGAGACCAUCCGCACUAACUACAAAUCCUAGAAAAACAGUUUUGUUAGAACAAAAAGAACAUUUCUUUAAAUUAGCAUAUAAGGUCUCUUUUCGCAAAACUUCUAAAACAGAUUUGAGAUGACUUACAUGUUUUUCCAUAGAUUUGCUGUAAAUCAAUAUAUCGUCGAAAUAUACCACACAAAACUUACCGAUGAAAGGCCUUAAGACAUGUUUCAUUAGUCUCAUGAACGUACUUGGAGCGUUGGUAAGGCCAAAAGGCAUAACCAGCCAUUCGUAUAGUCCGUACUUGGUCUUGAAUGUUGUUUUCCAUUCGUCUCCUUCUCGCAUCCGAAUUUGGUGGUAGCCACUCUUCAAAUCGAUUUUUGAGAACACUUUGGCCCUACUAAGCUCAUCUAACAUGUCAUCUAAGCGAGGAAUGGGAUGACGGUAUUUGAUUAUUAUCUUGUUAACGACUCGGCAAUCCACGCACAUGCGCCAUGUUCCGUCCUUUUUCGGUACCAAUAAUACGGGAACAGCACAGGGACUUAGGCUCUCGCGAAUGUAGCCUUUUUCCAUCAGCUCAUUGACUUGUCUUUGCAACUCCUUGGUCUCCUCCAGAUUGGCUCGGUAAGCAGGUCAAUUUGGAAUAAUCGCUCCCGGCACGAAAUUAAUUUGAUGCUCGAUUCCACGAAGUGGUGGAAGACCACUCGGGGUUUCUUCCGAAAAACGUCUUGGAAAUCUUGCAACAAAGACAAAAUAGGAAGGGGUAGGGUAUCGGGUAAAUCGUUAGUAGAAAUUAAUGCUUCCUUAUACAAAAGUACAAGAACAGUUCGAUUCAUCACCAAAGUCUUCCUCACAUCACUAACUCUUGCAAAAACACUCAUUUUCUCGAUUUUCUUUUCUUUUUCUUCCUUUUCUUGGAUAUUUUUCUUGUCACUCUCUUUUGUUUUCUUUUUCUUAUUUUUCUCUUCUUUUAUUUUUUUACAACUUUCUUUUUCUUUUUCUCUCAUUUGCUCAAUAGAAGCUUUUAGCUUGAUUUGGUCUUCAUACACUUGUUUGGGAGUCAAUGGCGCCAACGUCACAUUCUUUCCCAUGAAUUUGAAUGUAUAUCGGUUGGUAUACCCGUCGUGUUGAACUCGUCUAUCAAAUGCCACGGUCGGCCAAGUAGCAAAUGCCCCGCAUGCAUCGGUACGACGUCACAAAGAACUUCAUCCGAAUACUUGCCGAUGUUGAAAGAGACAAGUACUUGCUUCGUUACCUUAAGCUCUCCUCCGUCAUUGAGCCAUUGAAGUUUGUAUGGGCUCGGAUGCUUGGUAGUAGGCAAACCAAGUCUUUCAACCAUCAUGGUACUUGCUACAUUGGUACAGCUGCCUUCGUCGAUAAUGACGCUACAGACUUUGCCUCCGACUUGGCACAGUGUGUGGAAGAUAUUCUCUCGUUGUAGAUUAUUCUCUGUGCCUUGGAGACUUAGACUUAGACUUCGUUUUACAACAAGUAGUUCUCCUUCCAUGGGUUGUUCCACGUCCUCCUCGACUUCGGAAGCCGAUUCAGAUUCUUUCUCCUGCUCAUCCUCCGUUUCAAUCUCGCCAUCGGCUCGCAAUACCAUGGUCCUUCGAUUUGGGUAAUGGCUUGCUAUGUGGCCUCUUCCGAGACACUUAAAACACUUAAUAUCCUGAUUUCGAUUGUAUGUCGAUUCGGGUGCCUUGCCUUUGUUCAUUUCGGCGAUGGGCUUGUUGGUUUUUGGAGGUACCGUGGUCUCCUUCCCUCGAGGAUUGGCAGGUCCUUUACUUGAUCCUUGGCUCCACUUUGAAGGGUUGGAAGUGGGAAACCCUCGACUUGGGCCUCUUCUCUUGAGUUGUCUUUCCACCUUGAUGGCCAUAUGGACCAUAUCAACCACUUUAAUGUAGUGUUGUAAUUCCACUACGUUUGCUAUAUCUCGAUUUAGACCAGCCAGGAAUCGCGCCAUCGUUGCUUCGGGAUCUUCUUGGACAUUCGCUCGAAUCAGCGCGAUUUCCAUCUCUUUGUAGUAAUCCUCGACACUUUUGGACCCUUGCGUGAGAUUUUAGAGUUUUUGGUGCAACUCCCGGUGGUAGUAUGCAGGGAUAAAUUGUCGCCUCAUCACCGCCUUCAUUUCGGUCCAUGUAGAGAUAGGACGUUCACCGUUACGCCUCCGACUAGUGGUCAGUUGUUCCCACCAAAUCAUGGCGUAGUCCGAAAACUCUAUUUCUGCUAGUUUCAUCUUUUUAUUCUCGGAGUAAUUGUGACAAUCGAACACCAACUCUAUCUUUUUUUCCCACUCAAGAUAGGCCUCCGGAUCUGAUCUACCUUGAAACGGCGGAAUAGACAGUUUAAUGUUCUUGAGAUCAUCAUCUUCGCGUCUUCGAUCUCGUUGUCGGUGUUGCCUACGUCGAUCACUAGCAUUAGACUCUUGUUCACUUUCAAGAUCACUAAGGUCAUUUGCUUCAUCGUCUUGGACCCUUCGUCUUCCUCGGUUCUGAUUUGGCCUCUCCCGUCUUGGUCUAACCCCCUCGGGUGCUCUUUCACGUUGGCCAUUCACUUCAACUUGGAACAAACAGUCUUCGAUAGGAUUGAGCCUUCGAUCUAGGAGUCACUCCAUUUCUCGUAAUAAGGCUUGCAUGUUUAAGUCGGGGACGUUGUGAAUGGGUUGUCUUGCCGGACGAUCUUCCACGUUGUGAUCUGACUCUUGUGACAUUAAAACGUUGUUAAAGUAAACCUCACCACAAAAGCUCACAAUCUCUCGAAAAGGAAAAGAAGUUGUUUCUCUCACACUCGUGUUUACACUCGAAAUUAUGCUUUUACCUCACUCUAUUGCACUUACAACUCUCGUGCCUUUUACCUCUCUUAACUUUUUCUCGUGAUUUCAUAAGCAGAUUCGUUAAGGCUUAGUCCUUGGUCUAGGUGGUCGGUUCAAAAGCAGUAACAAGUGAUUGAUGUAUUCGGUUUUCGGGUAGGCUGAAAGAAUAGGGAAUUGGGUUAAAAGUGUGGCGUAUUAGGAAGGGUAGGAUAGAAGAUGGAUCGGAAACUAUAUCAAAUCAAAGCUUGACGAUCAACUAACAAUUGAAUUGCAUAAAUAACUUUUUUUUCGAUUUUUUUUGUCGGAAUUUUUUUUUUCAAACUUGUAUAACUUUUUUUUGUACUAUAUCAGCAAACUAAAUACAAUAGAAGCACUUUUGUACACAAUUUUUUUUUCUUCGGCUGCGUAGAUUUUUACUUUUAUAAUAACAGCAACAAACCAAUCAAAAUGAGAAAACUUAGGUAUACAAUUUUUUUUCUAUACUUUUUUUUCUGACCCUACCUCGGGAAUGCUCCGCUUCGAGCGUCUAAGCUUCUCGUUUUAAGUAGCUCUGAUACCAGAUGAUACGAACCAUCUCGGGAAGAGUCGAGUCGUAUGUAGAUUGCCCAAUCGUCUACGAGAAGUUACGUUAGGAUUAGUUGAGUUGUAGGUAUAGUCGAGUAGAAAGAGGGGUACGAAUGGAAUGGUAGGAACGAAAGGGAAGGAUCAAAAAUGGUAUGAACAAAUUGGUCGGUUUAGGUUCGAUUAGGUAAAGAAGGAAGAACGGGUUUGAACUACUAAAGGGACUUUCAAGAACCAAUUACCGAAAUGGUAUCGACCCGUUGAGUUAGCCUUUUGAGUUCGGUUAUAGGUUUGGUAAGGGAAACCUCGACCCACUAUCUAACAAGAUAGGAACCUCGGUAUGUUGAACGCCACACUACGAGUAGUGAUAAGUUCGGGUACGACAAAGAACACGGUUGACACAACUAGAACGCUAGGAACGCCAAACGAAUCUUUGAACGAAAUAUAAGAAAAGUUUGCCUCACGAUUUUGGCAGCAUAACAUUAACAAAAGUUUCAAAAGUUCUUUACAAAGUAACACAAGCCACAAUUUAUAGUGAAUGCAAGGGAUAGCCGAAUAGGCUCUUAAGGUAGCUAAAUGGUUUCUGAAAAUUCCAGAAUUUUUGAUGAAGCUUCCUUGAAGUUUCUUGUGCAUGGAGAACAGUAAGGGGCAGCUUCUAGAUGCCUUGAUUCAAUAGAAAAAUUGAAUGAAUUGUUUGGGAGCUGAAAUGCCAUCAAUAGGUUCGGCCAAAUGCUUGAAUUUGGAAUUAAUGCUGCUACUUGAUUCAGCCGAAUGUUCAUGUGAUUAAGGAGCUGUCUAGAGCACUUCAAUAGUCUUAGAAUAUGAACAAACCGAUUUGAACAGCCACACAUGUGUGAACAAACAAAACCGAACAGCCCUUGGUGUGAAAGGAAUAAUCGGGUGGGUGUGAACAGCCUUAAUUUGUCUUGGGCAGCCAAUUGGUCUUCUUGAAGAGUUGUAAGGUUUGGCUGAAUGGUCACUUAGGGAACACCAAAGAGCAGCACACCAAUUUUAAGUCAUCCAUGCACCUAUGCCGUCCAAGGGGUAAUGUACCUACAACAUUUAAUUCAGCAAAUUAAAUCCCUUUUAGACACAUUAAAUUCGGCAACAUAGACAAAUAAAUCUUGCACCAUAAAUUAGGCUGGACAUAAUUAAUCUUUGUAAUAGUUAAGACAUAUUUAAUUGGUCCUAAUUAAUUAAGUACUUAAUUUAGAACAUAAUUAAAACAUGUCCAGAUUAUGACAAAUUAAUUAUUAAAACUAAUAACUAAUAAAACUAACAGCAACUAAAAUUAUUUAUUCCAGCAUAAUAAAUGCAAUAAUGAAAUGAGCUGAAACGAGCUCGUUGAGCUAAGUUGAGUUGAAGUUGAGCUGAUUUGAGCUUGAAGGAGUAUGCAUGGUUUGCUUGGCUUGCUGGUCCAAGAGCUUUCAAGAAGUCCAGCAACGGUUUCACCCCAAACUCUAUCAACUAAAGCUGUUGUUGCGUCUUUGAAUCUCUUUGCUCGAGCUCGGGUGAUCGGUCCUACGGGCAAUUCGAGAGGAUCUUCAUUGGCAGCCGACAACUCAGGAGGGGUGGUUGUAUCAGAUCUCUUUCUCAAUGACCCCGAUUUCAUUAACCUUGAUUCUGCACACUCCUAGCAGAUGUGUGGUUGCUCUCUUGAUCACUUGACCAUAAGGCUCUUCCCGAUUUUGAUUAGGUCACCCACGUCCUCACCUUGCAACCUCGAGGGUUCUUUCACGUUAUUCCUGUGCCUCGACUUGGAAUAGUUGAUCCUCGACGGACUCGAGCUUUCAAUUAAAAAGCGUCUCCAUUUCAUACUGAUACAAUCACGCCCAAGCGUCGUACUAGACCAGCUCCCUAGUGUUGCUUGCAAUCAUUUGCGAGCUGAGUUAGUUCAAAUUCCAAUUCAAUUGAUACGAUCACGGCUUCCCAUAAGCCAAGUCCAAGCCGAGAUCCGAUGGUGCUACCUCAAGGGCCGAUCAUAAGGGCUCGUGCAAAACAAUUUAAAGAAGCUGUUAUAGCCUUAGUUCAGCAUGUGUGGGAUGAUGUCAAUGCUAGACCUAUCGAACCAGUUAGUGGCCUUUUUGGAAAUCCAUGCCGAACUUUUCUAUAAGUUCAUUUCAGCUCACUCAUUGGGACCAUCAUCAACUCUUUCCUCGGAUUACCCGUUGAACACUUGGAAUACUAAUUGGAUACUCGGAAAAGCCUUUGCACAUAAGUGCCUCAAUUGUAGCUAAAGUUAUCUCAUAUCUCAUGACAUUUCAAUGCUCACUCUCGAGCUAGUCAUCUAGACUCAUAAUUCCUAGUGACAUGUCACUUGUAUCCUAUUCUAUUCUUAAGGUUCAAACGGGAUUUUUCCUCGUCUAUUAAGGCUUUGUCUUAUCAUAUUUCUAUUAAUCACAUACACUUAAUAUCUAUACAAUUCAUGUAAUGAUAACAUUUAAAUACAUGUAUAGCAUGGUAUUGUUUACAUACAAACUUACCUCGAUACCACAAAGGUGAAAAGGACAUAAUCAUCCCUUAAUCAAUUUCUUUCCGUUCUAGGUCCAAAUCUCGAUUUCCUUGAUCUAUAAUUUCACAUUUAGCCUACCAAGCAGUCACAAUAUUCAUAUGGGUCUAAAAAUCAUAUUUUUACAAAUAUUCAUUUUGACCCCUAAACUUUUGCAUAUUUGCACUUUUUCCCCAAUGCUCGUAAAAUAAUUUUUAUCACAUUUCUUUAAUCCAUGAGUCUAGAUGAACCAUUUUCAUAACUGUAGCAACUCAUAAUUUCAACUAUUUUACACAUUACAACUCAUUUUACAACUUAGCAAUCUAGCCCUUUUUUAAGGUGUUUUCAUGCAAUUUCUUUCACAAAAGUUGUUUAUUAGACAACUAGGACUCAUAAUCUUCCAUAAAAACACAGCAAAAAACACAUUUACUCUCAUGGAAAAAUCCUAGACUCUUCAUCAUUUUGCAAAAUAGUCCUCUCUUAUGAAAGCUCAUGCUUUAGGGAUUCUAAAAAUGUAAAAAUCAUCAAGCCAAGACAUUAAAAUCACUUACAAGCAAGGGAAAUAUGUUGCUAAAAUUUUCCAGCUUCAAAACCAUUUCUUUGCUGCAUAUUUCGGUGAAGGAGAAGAGAAAAAUCAUAGCUUUUUCUUUUUGAUUUGUUAAUAAUAAAACUAGUCAAAAUUGGUGACCAAAUUUCACCUAAUUUUGACUUUUCAACAAUUUUGUCUCCCAUGGCCGGCCAUCACACUUUCAAUGGCCUAAUUUCACUUUAAAUACCCCCAAUUUAAGAUACAAGGAAAUUUAACACCUUUAGGUAUUAAAACACAACUUUUACCUUUUACGCGAUUUAGUCCUUUUUCGAAAUUGGACUAGAAAUUGCUAAAAUUAACUUACCAAAAUUUACAUUCACUUAUAAAAUUAUAUUAUAACACAUAAAAUAAUUCUAAAAUAAUUUUCUCUGGCCUCAAAAUAGUGGUCCCGAAACCACUAUUCCGACUAGGCCCAAAAUCGGGCUGUUACAUUUCUUCCCCCCUUUAGGGGUUUUCGUCCCCGAAAGUCUUACCAGAAAAAGUUGCUCUCUACUUUCACGAGUCACUUAUAUCUUUUUCUCAAAACUUACAAAACAACUCAGCUGAAGCUCAUAUUCAGGAUUUCUGUAACCUUUCCACAAUUACCAUAAAAUUCUCGGCUCAAUUCAAAAUACUGAAAACUGACAUUCUAAGAACUAUAAGCUUAGAAACACAACUCGUCCCAAUCCGUCUAACAAUACCUCUGUAUAUGAAAAUAGUCAUGCGGACUACUAUCAUCAAUCUAUCAUAAUCCAUUAUGGUAUCUCUUAUUUCCCGGAGAAGAGAGACAUCCCGAUACAAAAUUCAUACUAAUCAUUUCUCAAUUUUCUCUUUCAAUGUUAGCACUGACAAUUAUAAUCUUGAAUAUAUCUGAUAAUCAGCUUUACCCAGUAGUCAAUUUAACAUCCUUUGGAUGAAUAAACAAAAGACUGCUGUGAACUCUGUACACAAUUCUCUGCAUAGCCUGGAGUUUCUCAGUACCCUAUCUUACUUUGAAAUAAUAGUAACAGAAACCAGAAAUCAAAUCUUCCUUGCAAUUCCAAAUUAAAAGUCGAAUCACGCUGUACUUGUUUAAUUUACCACUUAUAGCCACAUUUCUAUACUCUGAUCAUCAACUGUUUAGAAACUUUACUAACAUGAAUCAAAUGAUUCCAACUUCAUAGAUGUGGUCUCUUUAUUAAUCAGGAUAACUAUACUUACAACAUCUCUCGGACAAGAGAAAUCCAACUAAUAUGUUUCCAUAACAUACUUUCAAGAAUAAAACCCCAUCAUUUCUGACUGUACGACUACUUACCAAAGAACACGUAACGAUAUUCUCGAACCAGAGAAUAAACUUAAAUGCACAUAACUCAGAUUUACUUUUGCAGAAUAACCAUUCUUUACCCCAAGAAUUUUAAAGAAAUCUCGACACUGAAAUCCCCACACUUUUAUGGUCGAGCCAAAAGCUUAAUCAUAACGGAUUUUAAUAUCGCAAGUCAAAGAUUACUCGUAAAGAUAAGCCAAGCUUGAUAAUUCUCGAAACAAGAACGAGAGAAAAGCCAAUAUAAGAAAUUCCAAGAUAUAAAGACUAUACCAGAAAUUCGAGAAUAUAAUCCAGAAGAAAAUAAUAAAGAUGAUCUGGAAAAUCCCUCAGAGAAAACCAGAAGGAAACUACUGUCUGGACACUCUAGAAUUCCUCAUAACAGAGAUAAUAUAAUUCUCGUAUAUAUAUAAACCAUAAUCAAUAGAACAUUAGAAUAAUCUCACAUAGAUUUUUACUAUCAACUUCAUUUCAAUAUAUCAGAAUAGAAAUCUGAAGAGAUGGGGAAAAUGUCAAUCAUAACUAACUGGACUAAUAGAGCUUUUCAUCUAAUAUCACAGUCACUAGCAUCCUCGUAUGAUAGAAUUUCCAUUCGAAAGGGAUAACCAUACGUAUUCCCCAGAAAUGAGGAAUACAUAGAAUACUCAGAAGAGAAAGAUAGCCAUCACUUUUGUUUAAUUGAAUCUGUCAUACUCAGACAUCUGUGCAAGUCCGACAUUAUUCCUCUAACUAAUUCUGUCUUCGCUAAUCUCAUACUAUUCCAUUAUUGUACUCUUCAGUUUCACUUUUGCAAGCUUAUGCAACAUAUCUAUCGAAAAUCUCAUCGUAUAACUCUAUUCUGGUAAGGGGACGAAGAUUGUAAAGCCUCUAAACUUUUGACUCUCAAGCAAAUACAUAUUCAACAACAACAUAGCAUUACACACAUCGAUUCAAACCUUUCAAAUUUCCAACUUGUUAUGAACACAUUUUCACAUAUCUCAGUAAUACAUGCAACUUUAUUUCAUGCGAAUAUUAGCUAAACAUAAGUGAAUUUAUCAUAACUCAAACUUUCAUUUCUUUUUUUCUCAAAUUACCCUUAAUGUCUUAUCAAGUUUCCACAUUUAGUCUUAAUCACUUUCCAAUAUUUAUCAAAUUGGAGAACGUCUUAUGGUUUUCAGUACAUCAUUUACUUGAUGCCAUAGUCCAACUAUGGUCUUGUACUAGCUUUCUUCUAUCUAUGUCGAUGCCGUGUCCCAGAUAGGUCUUACACUGACACAUGUAACCGUGUCGAUGCAUGUCCCAAACAUGUCUUACAUUAGCAUAUCUCGUAGCCAACGCAUGUCCCAGACAUGUCUAACACUGGCUAACAUCUCAAGGCCGAUGCAUGUCCCAAACAUGUCUUACACUGGCUCUCAUACUGUGGCUGAUGCAUGUCCUAGACAUGUCUUACACUAGCCCUCGUCUCAAUGCCGAUGCCAUGUCCCAGACAUGGUCUUACACUGGCACACAAAUCUCAUCUAUUGCCACGGUCCAACCAUAGUCUUUUCUGUCAAUUCAUUAGUGAACGAUCGUACUCAUAAUCCUUUAUUAAACCAUUUGAAACUGACCCCUAAGCCUACGAUAAAGCCUUGGUGAGUCCAAAUACGAAAUUACGAAAGAAAUUUUGAGUGGUAAAAGGCAUGAGCGUGUGAGACUAUUCGAGAGGAGGUAAAAGCCAAUUGAGUGUAAACACGAGCGUGAGUGCAAACCAUUAAUUUUUCUUUCCGAGUGAAAUUGUGAGGAUUUUGUUGUGAGGAAUUUACUUUUGGUUUUGUCUAACAAAAUUUCUUUCCAGCAAUAACAUCAUGUCUCGCGAAGAAUUUACUGAAUUAGAGUUCCAAUAUUUGGUGCAAGAAAUGUGAAGAAUGGUGAAUUCUAAAUUCGAUACAUUGCACGAGAGAUUAGACCGUGUGAAGAAAAGAGACCAACAGGAACGAAUGUCUUCAAGUCGAAAAGUGGAAUCAAGAAUAUCAUGAAGACAUACAUUCAAUGAUCAUUCGAGAAAAGAUUUCCAUUGUGAUUCUUGAUACGAGCUCACCUCGGCUUGAUUUGAGUCGUAUGUAAAAUGCCCGAUUGUCUACGAGAAAGUGUCAAUGAGAAUUGGAUGGAGAAAGUAAUUUCGGUUUAGAAAGGCUUGGAUGUCUAAGUUUAGGUUAAAAAAAUGGUUAAUAAGUUUAGGUUCAAGAAAGAGAAGAGUUAGGAUAUUUGGUAAGUUGUUUCAGUUCGGAAAAGGAACGAAAUGUGGUUGAUCGGAAUAUUUAGGUAAUGGACGAAAAUAUGGUAAGGUUGGUCCUCAGAACAAGUUGAACCAAUAUUAGCAAAUAUCAACCUGAGACUUAUUAGUUCUUAAGAAGGUAUGGUUGAAGCAAAAUGGACCUCGACCCACUAUCUAGGCAGAUAGGAACCUCGGUAUGGAAGGUUUUGAACGCCACACUAAAAUCUAGUGAUAAGUUUAGUUUCAUAAAAGAAAUAGGUAGAUAAGCCAACAAAAUCUUAAUCGAGACUUAGAGAAGAAAAUUCUCACAAGAACAAAGGUUCGACUAUAAAUUUGGCAAAAAGUCCUUUUACAUAGAAAUGGGUAAACUAUUUAUAGUUUAACAUGUGUAGCCGAAUGGACAAAUUAGCUAGCUUAAAGACUAAGUAAUUUCAGCUAUGAACUAACUAGAAUGUUCUAGAAUGAAAACAUUAAUUAGCUAAGUCUUGAUUCGGCUGAAUGGAAAUGCAUUGGAUAGCUUCAUGCUUAAGCAAAUGUACUUGGAUGAAGGUGAAUGAACGGCAGCUCUCAUGCUUGUCUAGGUUUGGCCUUAGGAUGGAAAAAGCAUUAAAGAGGCAACUCUUGGCUGAAUGUCCACCUAGGAAUACCAUUGGUUCACUCACAUUCAUUCGGUCAUGCAUGGUACUUGGAUGGAAGCUUGAAUCUGGCCAUACAUGUACAUUCAUUAAAUGCUCACCAUUCAUGCAUGGUGCCGUCUAAAGGGAAUGUAUCUUCUCAAUCCAAAUGCAUGUAAUUAACCUUCCAUGUUCAUGAACUUAAUUCCUCCAAGCACUGAACCGGACUUGUACAUGAAUCUUCAAAUGCGUUAACUUGCUCGUACAUGCAUAUAACCUUUAAUGUACCUCCACAUUCGGCUGAACCUUGGUUAUUUGGAGAGCCAUGCCUGAAUAGUCACUUGGGGAACACAAAUGGGCAUCACACCAAUAUUAUUUCAUCCAUGCAACAUGCGUCCCAAGCUAUGCACCUACAUGAAUUAAAAUCAAUUCAUUAAAUCCCAUGUGAACACCUUAAAUUUGGCACAAAUGUGAACAAACAUUCCAAGCAUUAAUUUGGUUAUUACAUAAUUAAAACAUGUAAUAUAAACAUAAUUUAAUUACUAAUGUGAACUUAAUUAAAAGCAUAAUUAAUUUAUAAUAACUAACUAAUGAACUUAUUCAAGUAAAAAGUCAACACUACGAUAGUAAGCUAUAAAUAACUUCAUGAGCUACGAUUAAGCUCAUAAGCUGGAGUUGAGCUGGAUGUGAACUUGUUGAGCUAGAACUGAGCUUGCUGAGCUGGUUGUGAGUUGGGCGAGCCAGGAAUAAGUUACAAGGAUGACUCGGUGAACUAGUCCACAAACUCUCGAGUAAGCUGGUGAUGGAUUCAGCCCAAGCUCGAUCAAUUAGAGCUGAGAUUGCAUCUUUGAACCUCUUGGCUAGGGCUCGGCUAAUCGGUCCUACGGGCAACUUGAGAGGAUAUACAUCGGCAGCUGGCAACUCAAGAGGUGUGGUCGUAUCAAUUCCUAUUCAUCAUCGACUUCGAGACCAAGAGAUUUCAAUCGAGAUUUCUUUUUGUUAAGGAAUUCAAGACUACGAGAGUCUGACCUCGAUUUUGAACGCGUCUAAGAUGACAUCCAAAGAGAUAGGCAUGUUUGAUCUUUAAAGAAAUCCUACUCAGAGUAUUUUUCAUGAAGCAUUGAUCAAGAUUCUUAUGCAAAUAAUUUUCCUUCUUUUGAACAAAAUCAUUGUUUUCAUGAUUCUUUUGUAUCUUCUUGUAAAAAGAAAAUGAGAAAAGCAAAAUAAGAAAUAAAAGAGAGGCAAGAGAGAAAAUGAGAGAUUCUUGAAAGAGCUCGAGAAAGUCAUUGAAAAAGCCGAUGAGAAAGAAAAAAAGAGAGUGAAAAUGAGAUUGAAAAAGAAAUUGAAAAAGAGAAUGAAAAAGAGUUUGAGAGAGAAAAAAAGUUGAACAAGAACAACUAGUGGAAAAAGAGAUUGAGGAAAAAGAAACGAGAGAUCUCGAGAAAAAAGAAUCAAGUGAAAAAGAAAGUGAGCAAGCAAGGAUUGUUUCCACUAACCCACCUAUUCGAUCUUCUUGUGAUGUAACUUUUCAGGUUCCUAAAGUCUUGUACGACCAAUUCCAACUUCACUACCUUCCAAACAAGAGAUGUUUUCAAUUAUUCGAGAAAGGUAAGUACGCAAAUGAUGACCACCCACUUCUGAUUGAAGGUAAAAAGGGUAAGGAAUCCAUCUUUAUCAAAUCAAGGUCGUCCAAUUUAAAAAUUGCUCAUAAAGAUUUUGAUGGGUCAAUUUCUGACAUGCCUCCAUCAUUUGAUUUGAUUAGUCCUUGUUCAUCUCUUGAUAACCCUGCUUCGAAAAGUGUCGUGAUAAUUCUGUCUUAUGACACGUUUGAUCCUUCUAUUGGAUUGGCUUACAAUCAUAAACGUGAUUUUAUCAAGCACAUCUAAAAUUCAAUCAUAAAUGUGCCAAACUUGAACUUACAAGCUCUGAUUCGUGAAGUGAUACGAACCGUCUCGGGAAGAGUCGAGUCGUAUGUAGAUUGCCCGACCGUCUAUGAGAAGUUACCUUAGGUUUAGUUGAGUUGAAGGUAUAGUCAAAGUAGAAAGAGGGGUACGAAUGGAAUGGUAGGAACAAAAGAAUACGAACAAAUUGGUCGGUUUAGGUUCGAUUAGGUAAAGAAGAGAACAGGUUUGAACUACUAAAGGUACUUUCAAGAACCAAUACCGUAAUGGUAUCGACCCGUUGAUUAAGCCUUUUGAGUUCGAUUAUAGGUUUGGUAAGGGAAACCUCGACCCACUAUCUAACAAGAUAGGAACCUCGGUAUGUUGAACGCCACACUAUGAAUAGUGAUAAGUUCGGGUACGUCAAAGAACACGGUUGACACAACUAGAAUGCUAGGAACGCCAAACGAAUUUUUGAACAAAAUAUAAGAAAAGUUUGUCUCAUAAUUUCGGCAGCAUAACAUUAACAUAAGUUUCAAAAGUCCUUUACAUGGAAAUUGAACAAGUAUUUGUAGACCUAAGUCCAGGUAGCCGAUUGGCCUUUCAUGCUUACACAUUAAUUAAAGAAAAUUCUAGAAAAAUGACCCUUAAUGUGCAUGUCUAGAUUCGGCUAUGGUAAUAGGAAAUGAAUGAAUCUUCAUGCUUAAGAAAACUCAAAGUGAAUGCAUGAUGUCCAAUGGUCACUUGUAGGUUCGGCCAACCUUGUUAAAUGAAGCAAUGUUUGGCCAAAAAGUAUGAAUUAAUUGUGGACACUCCAAGGGCCAUCAUGUGUGUGAAACCGAAUGUUGAAGAGUCUUCUAGUGUGAACAAGGUGAACCGAAUAGUCUUGCCAUGUGAACAUGGGUGUGAACGAAUUAAGGAGAGUCAUGGGGAAGCUAAUUGGCUAAGCUAUCUUCAUGCAUGUGUGAGUGUCCUUUGGCCGAAUGGUCACCUUGGAGAAUGAAGAGAUAGCACACCAUACAUGAAUGGAAACAUUCAUGAACCUUAAAGACAUGGAAUAUGGUCAUACAUGCACUUGGCCGAACAUGCACCUAAGAGAUUCAAGUCCCCCAACCGUCCAUGCACCUUCAAAAUUCAUGCUUGCUUUUAAUCUCCAUAUGUCCAUUGCGUUUCUACAAGAAAUGUGAACAAAAUUAAUUCAAACUAAUGUGAACACAAAUAUCAACAUUAAAUUCGGUUAUGACAAAUUUAAUUAUCAUCAAUAAACACUUUUAAGACAUACUUAAUAUAACUAAUGAUACGAUCGUGACCUGGAGUGCAUCAAGUUCGAGCAAGGACUCAAUGGUGCUGCCUCAAGGACCAAUUACGCGAGCUCGAGCUAAGCAAUUCAAGGAGGCCGUUUCGGCCUUAGUUAAUCAAGUGUGGGGCGAGGCUUUGGUUGGAGAAAUAGAUCAAGUUGGGACCAGCUUAAUAAAGCAUCCUUGCAACAUUUUGCAAACUAAUUUCAGCUCAAUUUCCGCUCCUUGAACCCGUUUCAACUAAAUUGAAAUUUUAUUUAUUUCUUUUAGCUUUGCAUUUAGUUUGCAUUUUAAUACUUGCAUUUAAGCCUCUUAGUUUAAUAAAUGAGUUGCUGGUCAUUAAUACAACUCAUCUUAGUUUAAUUAAAUGAGUUUAUUUAAUGAAUUUAAUUUAAUGAGUUGCUUCUUUAAUUAAUCUAGUUAAUAGGUUAAUUUAUUGGUGCAUGAGUUAAAGUUCAUUAAAUACUUCUUUUAAUUAACUAGUUGAUUGGAAUAAAUGAUGCAUAAGUGUGUGUUCAUUUAUUUACGUAGUUGUUAAUUUGUUUAAAGUUUAAUAAUUGAAUAAAUGUGAUGGUUACAUAUGUUUUAAUUGCAGGUGACUUUUCAAUUCACAAAGGCUGUUACGCAUUCAAUAAAGGAGACUUUUCAAGUUAUUUUGGUUACAAAAGAGGGGGCUGUUAUAAAGGAAGCAUUAAGCAUCAUUAAAAGAGAGUUUAAAGGAGCAUUUCAUGUCCUUUAAAAUCUGGUAGCAGCUUGUUCAAAUACCCCAACGUUUUUGCUACUUAAUGGACAAUUUAUGCAUUGCAAAUUUCAUUAAAGUGGCUGGAGUCUAUUCAACUAGCCAAAGGGAAAAUCAAGAGUCAUUUUUCAAGUCUUUAAGGACAUUAAUUCAGCUAGUUAAAGAGAGGAGUUAUUGACUCUAGAAUUUCAAAAGUCUUUGAUUUAUAAUUAGCCCUUUAAUAGCACUUUACUAUGUGACCAUUCGGCUAGCUCAUUUUAGCCUUAUAAAUUCUUGUAACCAAGCCUUUUGGGGACACUACUUUUUGGACAUUUUUGAAUGAUAUUCUGCCAAAUUUGUGAGGCAAACUUUUCUCUGUUUUCGUUCAAAGAUUUGUUGGCUACCUAGUGUUCUAGUUGUGUCAUCCAUUUUCUUUGUUGAAAACUGAACUUAUCACUACUCGUAGUGUGGCGUUCAAACAUACCAAGGUUCCUACUUUGCUAAGUAGCGGGUCAAGGUUCUCAUAUUCUCCAUUUGACCACCUUGAAAACUUAUAAACAUUUGGGUCAAUAUUUUCUAAUAUUGGUUCGUGUCUGUUUUCGAGAUCAUUUUCAUUUCCAUUCCAAUUCAUCUUUUCGUUUCAUUAUAACCAAACCUACAAAAACUUUGUUAAAACAUCCUUUUGAACAAAUCUAACGCUACUUCUUCGUAGACAAUCGGGCAAACUCACAUACGACUCGACUCACCCUGAGGCAGAUCGUAUCAACUAAUGUGAACUAAAUUUAGUAUGUAGGAUAUUAAUUAGCUAAUUAUUGAACUUAUUAAUUAAAAAUUCAAUAGUAGUCAAAUGAAUUCAAAGUGAACUCCACGAGCUGAUGGUUAAUUCAUGAGCUAAACCUGAGCUAGGCUUAAACUCGUGAGCUGAUAAUGAGCUGGUCCCGAGCUAAUAAGCUGGUGUGGAGCUACAUGGGAGCUAACUUCAACUGAAGGUGAGCUCGGUGAGCUGAACUGAACUUGUAGAAAAGUUCGGCAUGGAUUUCCAAAAUGGCCACUAACUAGUUGAUAGGUCUAGCAUUGACAUCAUCCCACACAUGCUGAACUAAAGCUAUAACGGCUUCUUUAAAUUGUUUUGCACGAGCCCUUGUGAUCGGCCCUUGAGGUAGCACCAUCGGAUCUCAGCUUGGACUUGACUUAUGGGAAGCCGUGAUCGUAUCAUGAAGUCAAGUGAUUGUUAGAUCACAAGUUGGAGCCAAUACAAGACUAACACGACCAAGUGAAAGGAAGAGGUUGACGGGCAAGGACCCCAAUAAGUCCACCUAGAGACAGUGGCCGAAGGCAAGUUUAAGAUGACGAGGUUUUCAAACCAAGUGAAGUCGAAAGUGAUGUUGGCUCGAAUAUUAGUGAUCGGUGAAGAGGCCAACGUCGUCAUAGUGGCCGGUAACUUAUGACACGUGAUAAUUCUGUCCCCUAAUUGAAUUUUAGAUGUGCUUGAUAAAAUCUUUGCACAUACAAAUUUUGGUUAUAUAAACUCUUUGAAUUCAUGUGUCAAACCUUUCUGUUUAAACAUGUCUGAUCAGUUGAUUUGCGAUAGGUUUCUGUAUGAAACAUUUCAUCCGGUUGAUUUUUAUCUUUGAGUUAAAUCCUUAAAUUUUUGUGCGAACUCUCCAUGUCUUGAUUUGCAUUCCCGAUUGAGAUUCUUGAAGCGUAAUUCUUUGCUUAUUGGUCUGCCUGGUAUUUCAAACUCUACGCUUCUGAUUGAUUGAGUAAGGUUUGAAUCAUGUGAUGGACUCGAAUGCUUGAAAAGUUGUAUGUUUACCACUUCUUUGAUUGCUCGAGUGGAAUUUCAGUCAAAUGGUGAGUUGAUUAUAUUUUCUUCUAACAUGUUGCCUAUUGGAAUUAUGUUACGUAGAUUUAUUUUAUGGAACAUUUAAGUAUUUUGCAUCUUUUGCAUUCAACUUAUGUUUGAUUGAUGUUCUAACUUUUGUUAAGGAAAUGAAAUUUGAUAAUUUGGUUUCCAAUUUUGAUUUGUUCUCUAAUCAUUUUGCUUGGCCACAUAUAAAGGUUUUGUUUCAUUUUGACAAGAUAAGGUUGACUUAUGCUAUUGGACUUGGAUUAGAUUCCAAUUAUGAUUUAUCUUUUCCAUUUAAGCCUAUUAUUUUCGUUAAUACUAACUGAUACGAGCACGCCCCACGAACUUUAUCGAGCAAGUCUGUCAAGCCGAGCAAUGACAUGUUGGCAAGCUGAUCCUAGCUCGUUUCCAGCUCCACGAGCUCCAUCCAGCUCAAAUCCAGCUUAUUCGAGCUCAAUCCAUCUUGCCUGAGCUAAACCGAGCUCACUCCUAGCUCACUUUCAACUCACGAGCUAAACCUUAGCUCAACUUCAGCUUAGGAGUUUAGCCUCAGCUCAACUUUAGCUCACGAGCUAAAGCUUAGCUCAUUUUAGUUUAAACUCGGUUUUGUCUUUAAUGCAUUAAAUAAAAAUUUGCACAUAUUUAUUUAAGCAUUAAACUUGUCUUAUAUUAAUAUUUGUUAUUAAUAUGUCAUAGUCAUUACAUAAAUUGAUUAUGUUCACAUAGCUGAAUUAAUGCAUGACAUUAAUGUGUUCACAUCAUAUGAGAUAUCUUAAUGACUUGUUUAUUUCAUGUAGGUACAUCCCUUUGGACGGUACAAUGUAUGGAUGAAGAAACAUCUCUUUUGGGCAUUCCACACUCAUGAAUGAAGAAGUAUUAAAUGCUGGUGCAUGUACGGCUAGAUGCAAGGUUUCUACAAAUUCAUGCAUGUGUCGAAUGCAUGUAUGGACAUUAAAGGCUAGUCCAUGAAUGGAUCAAAUGCAUGGGAUGAUAGAAUGCAUGAAUGGCUUAAGUGCAUGUAUGGUGGCUGUCUCCUAACUUUCCAAGGCACUUAUUCGGCCAAGAAGUAGCUGUUCACACUUUGAAUUGACCUAUAAGCUACUACACAUGCAUGGAUGGGUUCAAGAACGUCCAAAGCAAGGAAUUAACUCAAUAAUUCAACACAUUGAUUGAAUUAAGUGUAUGCACAAAGGGGAGAACGAAUUUACUAGGUUCAUGCUGCCAUUUAUGAACCUACAUGCUAUUAAAGAGUUUAAUUAUGAGGAUACAUGUUCCAUACAAGUGAAUGAACGUCCCAAGGAGAUGAAUGCAACCUUUGGUGCACAUACAAGUCACUUGAAGCCUUUCUUUAUGAUUAAGCAUUCAUGCACACACUUAGGGGGGAAAAGUGUCCAUUCAACUAGCUCAUGAAUCUGCCGAAUUUAUGAACUAUUUUAAUACAUUAGUGUGAACGUUUUUAUUAUUGUGUGAACACCUAGAUGCCAAAUUUGAAUGGUCAUCUAUGUGCCUAUAAAUAUUUGUUUUUCUUUCAAUUGUAAGGAACUUUUUGCCAAAAUUUUUAUUGAAUUUAAUCUUGUGAGAAUUUUCUUCUCUAAACUUUGUUUGAGACUUUUGAUACGACCCUGCCCUGGAAACAUUUCUUGGCUCGACUCACGAGCGAGGCUCGUUAUUCUCACAAGCUCGUCCCAGCUCAAUUUGGGCGGAUUCUAGCUUAUGGAGCUAGAAUGCAAUUUAUUUAAUUAAGUUUGCAUUUAGAUGAUGGAAUAAAUAAGUUGCUGAUUAGUUAAUUAAAUAAGUUAAUUAAUUUGUUUAAAAAUUUGGACAUUUUUAUUUUAAUGUGUCUUUGUUUAUUACCUAUUAAAUAGAUGUCUAAUAGUUAAUUAAGUGUGUCUAAAUUUAAGACAAAUUUAAUUCAUGUUGUCAAUUAAUUUUUCCAGACGAAUUUAAUGUGCAGGAUAUUGUGUACUUUGGACGAAUUUAAUGCUGUUAAUUAAUGUGUUUUGCUGCUGUUGUUUAAUGCUGCUGUUGUUUAAAUGUAGAAUGUUAAACAUGUCAUAGUUCCAGCCGAAAUUAAAAGCAUGGAUAAAUUGUCUUAAUGGCUGCCGAAUUUAUUAUGCCUUGUUGACCAUGUGGCUGUCGAAUUUAAUAAGUCUUAUUGUUCCCUUUUAAUUUGUCUUAAAAUGAGAGUUAAUGGCUGACUUUAAUAGGUGCAGGUACAUGGACGGCAUUUAAAGAAAAGGUGGCUGCUGCAUUUUUCCAAAGCUGCCGAAUUUAUUGAGUGCAUGGGACUUGGGACGGCAUUUAAAGUGAAAGUUGCUAUUGUAUUUUCCCAACCAGCCGAAUUUAGUGUGUGCAUGGGACUUGGGAUAGCAUUAAAAAGAGGAGGCUGCCGUUGCAAUUUUCUAAGCUGAUUAUUCAGCUCACCAACGUAUUUUUAAAGCUCCACCAGCCGAAAUUGUUCCUUUCACACCCUAAGUCCUUUCAUUUUCGUGUGUUCACACAUAAGGGCUGAUUAUUUCCCUCAGUUCACACAUAGGAUCGGUUGGAGAACCCAAUCUGAAUUUUAAGAAGUCCAAUCUGUUUAGCUGAUCAAGGAGCCGCAAUUAAGGCCAAGCUUCACUCCCUAGGCCGACUUUACAUGCACCAUUCAACAACCAAGGCUUCAAAUUUUCUCCAGCCGAAUUUCAAGGCAUCUAGAAGCUGAAUUUGACCUCCCAAAUGCAUUAGGAAGCAACUUAGAAUUUUAAGCUUAAUUAAGUGAAUUUAGAGAUGGAAUUUCAGCCAAGUAUUUUGUCCAUUCGGCUAGCCCUUAUUUGGCUAUAAAUUUCGAGUUCAAACAUGUAAAAAGGACUUUUGACUUUUGAUCAUUUGAAUGAACUUUGUUCAAAGAGUGAGUUUUCUCCUCUCUAAAUUCGUACGAGUUUCGAUCUGACUUAUCUAGCGUGCUAGUGGCGUCUAUCGUUCUCUUUUGAACUUAUCACCUUGCUUUGGUGUGGCGUUCAACCCUUCUACAAUUCCGCAAUCCCACCUUGAACCGAAUAGAAAUCGGGGUGACACUUUUUAGUGUUGAAUCGUUUCUGGCGUUUAAGCUCAUUUAUCCAUUCCACCGACUAUCCUAGAUUUUACCCAACUAUAAUAUCUUUUUACAAAACCGAGCCUUCAUUUAUCAACUUCCAUUUUUCUUAUUUUUAUCCUUAAAUCGAGCCUACUACCCUUAUAAAUUUACCAUCUCCUUAGCCAACCUUUAAAACCAUUUGAAAGCUUCCGCAUCUUUAGCCUUAUUUCAUCCUAUUUUCGAUAACUCAACUAUUCCUCGUCGACGAUCGGGCAAUUAUGUGAAAUGACUCAAUUAAUUCGGGCCGGAUCACAUCAACUUUGUUGACUUAUCUACCUAGUAGUGGCGUCAACCCUGUUUCGUUUACCCUUAUACCGAGGUUCCUACUUUGCUAAGUAGCGGGUCGAGGUUUAUCACUUUCAUCCUCCACCUUGAAAGCCUAUAAGCAUUUGGGUCGAUAUUUUCUAAUAUUGGUUCGUGCUUGCUUUUAAGAACCCUUUUCUUCCAUAUCCAUCAUCUAUUUACUUCUUUCACUUUCCCUUCCAAUUUAGCCGAAUAUACAUAUUAUUCUUAUCCAUAAACCAUCAUAGAACCAUUAUACAUAGCUUCCGUCCUAUUUUUUCCAUCAACUUCAUUUCAAAAGUGAAUUGAACGAUACUUUCUCGUAGAUGAUCGGGCAACUCAGCAUACGAAUUGACUCUCCCCAAGGCGGUUCGUAUCACUAACCCCUCUCAUUUUUGUGAAUUCCACCCUUAGAGAAGCAUGAGAUGUCGUGGUGCCUCAUUGUUCAUUCAAAUUGAUCGAAGUAAAAGGUUUGUUUUACAUUACCUUUCCGAGGAGAGAAGAUUUGUUUUGAUUGGAAAAGGUAAAACUAUUCAUGAGAUUUCUUCUCUUAAAGGCUGUCAAGGUAAAGUUUCAGAAAAUAUUUGAACAUCUUUGCUUAAUUCGAAUAAAGCUGCAAAUCUUUGUCAUAUAUUAAUGUUUGAACCUUAUUUGGAUCUUGAUGUGGUUGAUUUUUCUCCUUGGCCUUGUAAUAAUCUGUUUGUGUUGGAAUGUGAUAAUUGAUAAGAAUUCGCCUCAGCUUGAUUUGAGUUGUAUGUAAAAUGCCCGAUCGUCUACAAGAAAGUUUAGAUGAAUUGGAUGAAGAAAGUUAUUUCGGUUUAAAGAGGCUUAGAUGUCUAAGUUAGGUUCAAAAGUGGUUAAUAAGUUAGGUUCAAGAUAGUGCGGAUGGUCUCGAGGUAGACCAAGAGAAGAUUAAGGCCAUACGAGAUUGGCCAAGGCCUACAAGCGUUACGCAAGUUCGAAGUUUCCAUGGCCUAGCAAGUUUUUACCAACGAUUCGUUUCAAAUUUUAGCGCUAAGUGUGCGGGUUUAAAUUGUACAGCACUAAGUGUACGAGUUUGAUUAUGUAGCACUAAGUGUGCGAGUUUGAUUAUGUAGCACUAAGUGUGCGAGCUUGAUUAUGUAGCACUAAGUGUGCGAGUUUGAUUAUAUAGCACUAAGUGUGCGAGUUGAUUAUAUAGCACUGAGUGUGUGGACUUAAUAUAUAUUUUUGAAUCACUAUGGGCACUAAGUGUGCGUCAUUAUUGAGUUAAUCACGGACAGCGGAUCGGGUAAGUACCUUGAGUUCGUGACUACUAGGCGCUAUGUUUAUAUUUGAAGUUGAGCUUGGUAAGUUUGAACCUAUGUGACAAUUAUAAUUGAAGUCACGUACAUAAGAUUUAUCGUGGAAUAGGUGAAAGGUCGUUUAGUGAUAUGAUUGUAACGAAAAUAAAAUGAUGUAUGAAAAUGCCUCGAAUAUCCUAUUGAUUAUUAUAUGGAAUGUGAAUGCAUGACUUGGUAUGAGAUUGAACCGAUAGGUUUGAGGAACUAUGGUAUGGUUCGGUAUGAAUGGAGUAACUAGCCUCGUUCCAUUUUGCUUCCUCUUGUGAUAAUGUUAUUAAUGGAUGGUAGUGCAUUGCUUAUGACUUACUGAGUUAUAUACUCACUCGGUGUUUCCUUGUCACCUAUUUUAGGUUUCUUGGACUCGUCUCUUUUUGCGUGAUCGGGCCGUCAUUGGAGUCAUCACACCGGCUAGCAAGUUUUGGUACUUUCUUCUUAGUCGGCUUAGGAGAACAUUUCGGCAUGUAUAGGCUAUUAUGUUGUGUUUGAACUUUGGUAUGUAAACUUUUAGUCAUGCGAAAAUGGCAUAAAUGUUCGGUUGGGUUUGGUUUCAUAACGUUAGGUCGUAAAUCUUGAUAAUUCGACCUUUUUAUGCCAUAUGUCAUGGUUGAUUAUUUUGGUGUUAAAAUUCAUGAUAUGGCAAUAGUGUAGUAGGGAGAUGUUUGACAAUGAUUAGCCUUUGGCAUGGCUAGUCAUGAUCAUAAUUGGUGCUAUGUAUGAUGAAUUACUAGUUAGAUCAAGGAGAAAUCACGAAAUAGGCAUAGUUGCUUUCGUAACAGAUGCUGGCAGCAGCAGUGACGUGAGAUUGAAAAAUCACUAAAAAUAGUAGGAGUGGAAUUAAUUAAUGAAUAAAUUAUGUAAUCGAAGCUUGAUGAGUCUAUGUUCAUAUAGAAGUAACGAAAUGAUCAUAUAGACAGUAUGUUAAGAGAUAUUCAGGUUCUCGUUAGACAGGGCCAGAACGGUUUCUGGAUUCCCUGUUCCGACUUUGGAAAUUCAUUAUAAAUUAACCAGAGAUAAUUAGGAGUCAUGCCAUAUAUGUACAGAUUCCUCUCUGAGUCUAGUUUCUAUAGAAACAAACGCCAUCGGUAUUGAAGCUCUGUGCAGGGAGAUAUCCAAGUCGUAAUGCGCAAAGGUCAGUGUAGUCGAUCCCUGUAACAUGGGAGACUUUGACUAAUAAACUGUAUUAAUUGGCCUGACAAAAAAUUCUACAAAAAUUAUACCAUAUAGGUAUAUGAGUCUAGUUCCAGGGAAAAUUUACGGAACUGGAUUUCGAGUUUCAGAACUCAAGAUACGAUUUUUAAAGCGACUAGUACGCAGAUUGGCAGCUUGCCUGGGAAAUGUCAAAUAAGUGGUUUGAAGUCUGUUAACACCUCGUGUUCGACUCCGGCGAUGGUCUCGGGUUCGGGGUGUUACAGUUGAAACUCGAGAGUGAGUGAAUUUUUCUUUUUGAGCGAAUUUGUGAGGUUUGUGGUAAGGUAUUUAUUUUCUUUAUUAUUUUUUUCUAACAUCUUUUCAUUACUUAAUCAUGUCUCGAGAAACAUUUCCCGAAUCAGAAUUCCAAUAUUUGAUGCAAGAGAUGCGUAGAAUGGUGAAAUUAAAAUUUGAUAAAUUACAUGAUCGAUUGGAUCGAGUGGAGGAAAGAGCCCGAUGGAAGCCAAACUCACCGGGUCAAGAGACAAAGACAAGAUCAUCACGAAAGCACACAUCCCAUGAUUAUUCGAGAAGAGAUUCAUACCAUGAUUCCUAUUCAAUGAGGAACUCAAGACGAAGCAAAGCAAGUUUUGAGUUUGAAGCUUUUCAAGGUGACGAACAAGAAAUCACAAGUAGUCAUUCGUAUGCACCAAGGUAUUCGUCCGCCAAGAAUCAAUCUCGAAGAGGUGAUCAUUUUUUGUAUGAAAGUCGUUCCAAUUAUACCCAACGAGGGUCAUUUCGUGCUGAUUCAUUUGUAACAUCUCCAUCCUAUAAUGAAAGAGCGAGGCAAAAAGAAAAAGAAAUAAGAAGAAAGGAAAGACAAGAAAUGUUGAUGAGAGAAAAUGAGCAUAUAUGGAAUGAAAUCGAGAGACGAAAAAAAGAAAUGAAAGAAAAGGAACAAGAAAUUGAAAAAGAGAGUGAGAUUGAAGAAAGAAACGAGAGUGUAAAAGAAACGAGUGUCAUGGAAAAAGAAAUUGAGAUUGAAAAAGGAUGUGAAAAAGAGAAAGAAAUCGAAAAAGAAAUUGAGAUUGAACAAAAGUGUGAGGAAAAGAGAAAAUUGAAAAAGAAAGAAAAGACAAUGAGUUAGAAAAACAAACGAGAGAAAAGGAGGCAAAAGAGCAAGAAAAAGUGAGGAAUCUGUUUACUAAACCACAUGAGAAUUUGUCUUGUUUUGUUUCCUCUUUUCAGGUCUCCGGAAGGCCAAGUGACGAUAGUUUUCAACUCCAAUACCUCUCGAAGGAGAGAAGGUUCAUUUUGGCUGAAAAAGGUAAUGUUCUCAAUGAUCCUAGUUCGCCUAUGCCAAAAGGUAAGCAAGGUAUGAAUGUUGAAAAUUUUAAAGCACUUCUGCCUUACUCGAUUGUUGAUGGACACACUGUUGAUGAUUUGGUCUUUAGAAAUAAUCUGAACUUUGACGUGGCUAUUUGUCAUUCUUUGAUUGAUGAUGAUCCAUUUGUUUUGUCUAAUGAUAAAAAGAUUCUUGCUUUUGAAAAAUAUCAUUUUGAUGGUAUUGGUUGUUUAUCUUUAACUUGCAAUGGAAUGCAUGUUUUGGAUGCGCAAGAUGAAAGUCCGUAUAAAUUGUUCAUUUUAUCUGAUUCUAUUGAAAAGGAAUGGAAAUGUAUUGUUGAGUAUGGUAUUGGCAAGAUUUUUGAUGAAGAACGAGUAAAUCAGCACCAACAAAAUCUAGAAUUGAGUGAUCAAAAGUCGACAUAUCAUUUGCUUGGUUGUGUUGAUCAUGUGGAUUAUCUAAUUUAUGGUGUGAAAUUUCCAUGUUUUCAUAAAUCUUUUCGAAUGAAAUUUAAAGGGUUUGCUUGUUUGAAUUUGAGUAUGCUAACACCCUUGUUGUUUAAUUUGUGUAAAUUGUUGGAGAUAAAAGGACUCUUAUUGCCAUUUGGAUCGAGUAGUCAAAAUCAUGUCUUUAAUCCUGGAGUUUGUUAUUAUGAAUCAUCCAUGAAAGAAAGCAAGUAUCGUAAAUUUUGUUUGAAUGAAUGUGUAAACAAUCUUUGUUUGUAUGAUGCUUUGUCUUUAAGUUUGAAAAUGAGACAUGUGAAUCUUGUUGGUUUGGUAAGUCAAAAUCCAAAUUUUGUUUUCGGAGGUUGUUCUCAACUAUGGUCUAAAAGAUCUGAACAUGUUUUGCAUGAUAAUCAUUUUGAGAUGUUUAGUGUUCUUUCUAUGAAGUCUGUCAUGAAAUUGCUAAAUCAAAUUGAAAUGGCAAGAGAAAAUUUUGUUUUUGACCCUGGAAAUUAUUAUUCUUUGUUCUUGUUAAAAGGGCUUGGAUUCUGUAAUUCUGAUCUUCGAGAUUAUGCCUUUCGAUUGUUUUGUGAUUUAAGUUUGUUUCUAUCGAGAAAAAGGUACGAACAAUUUCUAUUUUUGACCCUGGUAUCGGUUUAUUUGUUCGAAUUGUGAAUCAAAUUUUGGAAAGUUCCUUUGUGUUUAAUCUUCAUUGUGUCACUAAUUUGUUUUAUUCUUUUAAAGGUGACAAUGUGAAGUGGUACCCUCCUAAAGAGGGAGGGCAUGCGAAUGAGCUUCUUUUGAUCCGAGUCAAUUGUGGCUUUCAGAAUCAUCAACGAUUUUUUGCGAGUAAAUGGCCCGAUUUGGGGACAAAUCGCUUUAAAGAGGGAGGGGAUGAUACGGCCACACCUUGGGCACACUUUUGGACCAGCUCCUUAAGCAUUGUUUGCAAAUCCAUGCAAGCUGAAUUAGUUCAAUUCCUUCUCAUUGAGCUCUGUUUAGCUUGUUUCCAGCUCACUCGAGCUCAAGUCAACUCAUUCAAUCUCAAUUCAGCUCAAUCUUAACCCAAUGAGCUUAUUUUUAGCUUUCUUUAGCUUGCAUUUAUUUUCCUGAAAUAAACCAUUUAAUUUGUCUUUAGUUGAAUUAGUUGUUUAUUUUAAGUUAAUUAAUUUGUUAAAUCUGGAAAAAUAAUUAAUUAAGUGUUUUAAUUAUAUCUAAAUAAAAUACUUAAUUAAUUAUGAUGUUUUAAAUAUGUCUGAAAUUGUUAAUAUGUAUGGCCAAAUUUAAUGUGCAAAUUAUUGAGUUCAUAUGCUGCUAAUUUAAUGUGUUUGAAAUGCAUUUAACUUGCUGAUUUAAUUUGCUGCAGGUUCAUGAACGGAUUGGUGCAAUGUAUGGGAGUGUGCAUGCACAAUUGAGGUUCAAUGGAUGGCAUUUAAAGGAGCACAUGCAUUUGGGACGUUCAUGCAAGAGGGAGUUGCUGAAAGUUCAUGUAUUUGAAGAUUCAUGGAUCAUAUUUAUGGGGGAAAAUACAUGGGACGUUUCAUGCAUGAUUCAUGCAUUUUCAAGAUGACCAUUCAAGUAUUUUAGGCACAUUAAUGCCUCAUUCAGCCAAGGGAGAUGUAGGAUCAUUAAAGAGCUGCACAUUCAUGGAAUUAUGGAGAUUCUUCAAGGCUAAGGAUGCAUGAAUGCAUCAAGUGAAGCAUCAUGAUGGUUCGGCCAAUUCAUGUACCAUUUUCAAGCAUGAACUGAAUUUUAAUGCUUUUUGUGUGAACAUGUUAAAUACCUGUGUGAACAGAUUUAAGUUAGUGUGAACAACAUAGAUGCCGAAUAUCAAUAGGCAUUUUAGGCUUAUAAAUAGCUUACUUGUUUAUUGUAAAAGGUUACAGAAUUUGAUCAAUUAAACUUAAUAGAACUUUUGUUCUUGUGAGGUUACCUCCUCUCUUCUUUCGUUCGAGUCUCGAAGCGACUUAUCUAGCUUGCUAGUGGUGUCAAUCCGAACUCCAUUGAACUUAUCACCGAAUCGGUGUGGCGUUCAACCAUCUUCCUAUACCUUUGGUUCUCACCUCCAUAUAGGUAACGGGUCAAGGUCCGCUUCUAUCCUUCAUCAAAAUUCACCUUAAGCAAUAUAAGACUCGGGGCAAUACUUUUUAGUAUUGAAUCAUUCUUAAAGUUUGAGUUCUUUAUCCAUUUCCAUUUAUUUAUCAUCUUUAUAACUUAAUUCUUUGUUAAACCGAACCUAUCUUUCAUCAAACCAAAACCCAUCCUUUGAACCCAUUUUGCCUACCUUCCACUUAUAAAACAUUCAAACUCCAUCUAUCUACAAAUUUGAACGAGCUUCUCGUCGACGAUCGGGCAUCUUAAGUGAACCCGACUCAAUUAAUCGGGCCGGAUCACAUCAAAAGGUACGAGCUAAUAUUGAGGCAAGAACCGAGUCUUACGUGCAUAAUGCUAACAAGGGACGAAAGCGAGUGGUCUUCGAACCCGGAGAGUGGGUUUGGGUUCACAUGCGCAAGGAGCGUUUUCCAGCUCAACGAAAAUCAAAAUUAUUACCUAGAGGAGAUGGUCUUUUCCAAAUUCUUGAGCGCAUAAAUGAAAACUCUUACAAACACGAUUUGCCUGGUGAGUGAUAUGAUCUCGGUUUAGUAGUUGAGUCCGAGUCGUUUGAUUCCCGAUCGUAAACGAAGAAGUAGAUUAGACGAGAAGGAGUUAGAAUAUAUUUGUGUACAAAGAAGUAAGAUAAGUUCGUGCAAAGUUGGAUGUGGAUUUGGUUUAAGUCGAAAUGGUAUGAAUAGAAUGGAAGAGUUUGGUUUAGGAUAAUUAAGAAAUGGUAUUUGGUUUUGGUACGUUUUGGUAUUUGGAAAUUGGUACGAAAUGGUAUGGAAUUGGUAUGAAAUGGUAUGGUAUUUGGUACGAAUUGGUAACGGUUCAAAGAGGUCAAGAAUGAACCAACACUAAAGAAAAGUGUCGACCCGAAACUUAUAGGACCUAAAUGAAUUGGAAAUGGUUAAAAAGAACCUUGACCCGAUACUUAGGAAAGUAUGAACCAAAGGUAUCAAAGGUGAACGCCACACUCAGGUUAAGGAGUGAUAAGUUCGGAAAAGACUCGGAAAGACGCCACUAAAAGCUUAGAUAAGUCUUACGGGCCUCGAACGAAAUUUGAGAGAAAAUGCCUCACAAAUUUGGCAGCAAUUCGCUAAUUAAAAUGUCAAAAGUCCCUUUACAAAUUGAAUUUAACAACUAUUUAUAGACAAAGACUAGGCUAGCCGAAUAGUCAUAUGAAUGCUUAAGAAUUAAGCAAAUGAAUUCCUUUAAUGUGCUUAACUAAAUUCGGCUGAAUGGAGCUCCAAUGGUCAUCUUCUAGAAAGAGCAAUGAACUUAGAAGCUUGGAAAGAUGCAUGGCAGCAGCUAGGUUCGGUUAAUGGACUUAAACAAACUCAAUUAAUUGGCAACUUUUGUUGAAAAGUGAUCAGCAAUUAAAGGAGGUAAUGAGCAGCCACCAAGGUGUGAAAACUCAGCUUUGAAGAGUCAUGGCAUGUGAACAUAUAGAACCGAACAGCCAAGAUGAAUCCAGCAAUGUGAAAAGAAUUAAAAGUCGGCUGAAUGGUCAACUUGGGAGUAGGAAACAAUAGCUUCUUUGGCCGAAUGGUCACCUAGGAUACUUCAAACAGCAGCCAAAUUUAAUUCCCCAAACAUGCAUGUGCCGUCCCCUUACAUGUAUCUUCUUUUAAUUCAUUCAUGCACCAAGGAUGUCCAAAUGGGAUGUACCUACAGCAAAAUUUAUUCAAUAAAUCAAAUACAUUUUUAAACACAUUAAUUUGGCAGAAAAUGACACAAAAAUUAUGCACAUUAAAUUCGGCCACCUUAGGACAUAAUUAAAACAUGUAAUAAAAUUGACACAUUAAAACAUGCAUAAAAAACAUAUUAAUGAGCUGUAGAAAUUAAGACAAAUUAAUAACAUAUAAUUAUAACUCAAUUAUCAUGCAUAAUUAAAUUUGUCCAGAUUUUAAACCAAAUAAAUAAUGAAUAUUAAUUGAGCUGUAAUAAACUAAUUAAAUGACUCAAAUAAUUAUUUCAGCUACUAUAAUAAGGUCUUAAUGAAAUUGAGCUAGUUUGAGCUCAUUGAGCUUGAAAGGAGCUGGAAACGAGCUAAAUGAAGCUCCACAAAAUAAGAUUGAGCUACGUCCAGCUUGCAAACACGAUGAGCCUCGCUUGUAGGCUGAAACAAUAGCCGUUCCCGGGGGCGGGUCGUAUCAGUGAGUUUAACGUUAGUGCAACUUUUAAUGUGUCAGAUUUAACCCCUUUUGAUACAGAUUUUGACUUGAGGACAAGUCAUUUCAAAGAGGGGGGAAUGAUACGAUCGCGACCUGGAGUGCAGUAAGUUUGAGCAAGGACUCAAUGGUGCUGCCUCAAGGACCAAUUACGCGAGCUCGAGCUAAGCAAUUCAAGGAGGCCGUUUCGGCCUUAGUUAAUCAAGUGUGGGGCGAGGCUUUGGUUGGAGAAAUAGAUCGAGUUGGGACCAGCUUAAUAAAGUGUCCUUGCAACAUUUUGCAAACUAAUUUCAGCUCAAUUUCCGCUCCUUGAACCCGUUCCAACUAAAUUGAACUUUUAUUUAUUUCUUUUAGCUUUGCAUUUAGUUUGCAUUUUAAUACUUGCAUUUAAGCCUCUUAGUUUAAUAAAUGAGUUGCUGGUCAUUAAUACAACUCAUCUUAGUUUAAUUAAAUGAGUUUAUUUAAUGAAUUUAAUUUAAUGAGUUGCUUCUUUAAUUAAUCUAGUUACUAGGUUAAUUUAUUGGUGCAUGAGUUAAAGUUCAUUAAAUACUUCUUUUAAUUAACUAGUUGAUUGGAAUAAAUGAUGCAUAAGUGUGUGUUCAUUUAUUUACAUAGUUGUUAAUUUGUUUAAAGUUUAAUAAUUGAAUAAAUGUGACGGUUACAUAAGUUUUAAUUGCAGGUGACUUUUCAAUUCACAAAGGCUAUUACGCAUUCAAUAAAGGAGACUUUUCAAGUUAUUUUGGUUACAAAAGAGGGGGCUGUUAUAAAGGAAGCAUUAAGCAUCAUUAAAAGAGAGUUUAAAGGAGCAUUUCAUGUCCUUUAAAAUCUGGUAGCAGCUUGUUCAAAUACCCCAACGUUUUUUUUGCUACUUUUUGGACAUUUUUGAAUGAUAUUCUGCCAAAUUUGUGAGGCAAACUUUUCUCUGUUUUCGUUCAAAGAUUUAUUGGCUACCUAGUGUUCUAGUUGUGUCAUCCAUUUUCUUUGUUGAAAACUGAACUUAUCACUACUCGUAGUGUGGCGUUCAAACAUAUCAAGGUUCCUACUUUGCUAAGUAGCGGGUCGAGGUUCUCAUAUUCUCCAUUCGACCACCUUGAAAACUUAUAAACAUUUGGGUCAAUAUUUUCUAAUAUUGGUUCGUGUCUGUUUUCGAGAUCAUUUUCAUUUCCAUUCCAACCCAUCUUUUCGUUUCAUUAUAACCAAACCUACAAAAACUUUGUUAAAACAUCCUUUUGAACAAAUCAAUGCUACUUCUUUGUAGACGAUCGGGCAAACUCACAUACGACUCGACUCACCCUGAGGCGGAUCGUAUCAUCGAAUUCACGUAGUUGCCCGAUCGUAGAUGAGAAGAGUCGUUCGUGCCUCAGUUUUGGAAGUUGAAGUGAAUGGAUAGGUUUGGAUAAGCGAAAGGUUUCAGUAAUUGUAAGAAUAGUGACAGGUUCGACUAAGGGUAGAAAGGAUGGUUGGUGGAAGGGUGGUUCGAUUUUGGUAAUGAAAGAAAGAAGUUUGGGAAAGUGGGGAUGGAUUAACGAACUUAACGUCAGGAAUGAUUCAACACUAAAAAGUGUCACCCCGGUUCCUAUAUUGUUAAGGUGGAAAGAGGGAUAGAAGGAUAGGUAACGCCACACCAAGAAUGGUGAUAAGUUCAAACAUGGUCGAUUGAAGCCACUAGCACAAACUAGAUAAAUAUUUCAAAACUUGUAUGAGAUAUGAGAGGAAGCAACCUCACAAGAGCAAUGUUCAUUCAAUAAUUUGGAAAAAAGUCCUUUUACAAAGAAAUAAACAAACUAUUUAUAGUCUAACAAGUGAUAGCCGAAUGGUCAAGUUAACUAGCUUAAAGGCUAAGUAAUUUAGCUAAGAUUGCACUAGAAUAUUCUAGAAUAAAUCAUUACAGGGUGAAGUCCACAUUCGGCUAAUUGGAACUUCAAUGGGCAGCUUUAUGGUUAAGCAAAAUUGACUUGGAUGAAUGUGAAUGAAUGGCAGCUCAAUAGCUUGUCUAAAUUCGUCCAUGGAUUGAUUGGAGCAUUAAAGAAGUGUCUUUUGGCUGAAUAGACACCUAGGGAAAUCAUUUGGGCAGCAAAUGAUUCAUGUAUCAAGAACUAGAUGCAUUCUCCCAUUCGUUGUAGCUUGUUGUCCAUGCAUCUUCUCUUAGGCUUUAUUCAUGAAUUGAAUUUAGAAAUUAAUUUGCAGCUACCCUUUGGCCGAAUAAGCACUUAGGAACACCAAUGGUUCAUCCACAUACAUUCGGCCAUGCAUGGAACUAGAAGAGGGACUUGAAUCUGGCUGUACAUGAACAUUCAUUAAAUGCUUUCCAUUCAUGCAUGUGUGACGUCCAAAGUGAAUGUAUCUUCAUGGAUUCGUUGUAUCAUCCAAGUGGGAAUGUAUGGUAUUAAUCCAUAUACAUGUAUCCAAGUCGUCCAUGAACAUGAACUUAAUUCCUCCAAACAUUGAACCGAAACAUGCAUGAAUUUCCCAAUGCAUUGAACUUGUUCGUAGAUGCACCUAGCUUUUAAUGUACCUCCAUAAUCGGUUGAACCUACAAAGACAUGAACACAUUUAAUUAUAUCAUUUAAUCAUAAUUAAACAGCAACUAACAACUUAAAUAACAACUUAACUAAUUAGGACAAAUUAAAUUAAAAUUAACUAGCUUAUUAAUUUAGCUAGCUCAAACUAAAUGAAAACAUUUAAUGAAUUAUUUGAGCUAGGAUUUUCGUUAUUGAACUAUAGCAAACUAAUUAGUAUAAAACUAAAACUUAGUUUAAUUUAUUGAAAUAAAGAAUGACCUGAAAGUAAGCUCAAUUGAGCUCAAACGAGCUGAAAUGAGCUCAAAUGAGCUGAGUUGAGCUGGAAAUGAGUUAGGAUCAGCUUGCCAACAAUGCACGGGUUUUUGGAUAGUUGCUUUGAGCUGAUUUUGUGAGCAUUUGCCCUUGUUUCAAACCAAGGUGAUACGGGGUUGUGCGCGGACCAAGAUCGAGUUGCCAAGUCACGGAAAACUCCUACGAAAACCCUAAACAAUUAGAUCUGAAACGAAACAGAAAAUUAAAAGAUUAGAUUUUUAAAUUUUCAGAUCUGAAAUAAAAUCACCAAAACAGUAAAGAAUCAAAUAGAGAAUGGUAAUAAGUGUUAGGGUUCUUGAAACCCUCAAGGAGAUUGUGAUUCUGCCCAAUUGAACACCAAGAUAGUUUUCCCCAAAUUUCGACAAUCUAAUUUCACCCAAAAAGAGUAUGGAAAAACCCUAGAAAUUGGGGAUUUUUGGGCUGAUUCCUUAAGAUAGAAAAAGGCUGAAAACACAAUAAGAACAGAAAAUAGAUUAGAUAAUGAUUCAGCACAAGUAGAAAUAAAGAAAGAAUUGACAGUAAGAAAUUAAAAGAUAAGUCCUAAGAAGCCUUGAAAUCUUGAAAGAUCUCACAACUCCCUUCAAACGGCUCUAAUCUCCCCUCCAAAGAAUAUCAAUGGCAAGAAGAAGGUUGAAGAUGGCUCCCACAAUCACAAGAUUGUUAAAACAACUUCUAAAGAAAACUCAAGAGAGAAAUCUUGGAGAAAACUCAAAGAAAAUUCUGCUCUCAACAAAUCUAAAAUUUUAAUAAUAAUGAUAAGUGUUUAACAAGGUGGACAGCCAUGCCUUUAAAUAGGCAUUAUAACUAGUCCUAAUCUAAUUAGAAAACUAAAAUAAAAAAACUCCUAAUUAUUUUAAUAUGGAAAUUCGGUCAAAGGUCAUUUUAUCUGGGACUCUUGGACUGAAUAUUGACAUAAAAAUUUAAACUAAGUAAAUAAAUAAAUAAAUAAAUAAAUAAAAAUAAAACUUUACAACUUGGGCCACUUUGACAAUUUGGCCUGAUUUUCAACUAAGUAUGGAUGGAUUUCUUGAUUGGGCUGGGAAUUUGCUUAUUGGGCCUCGCCUUCAAGAAUUUGGGCUUUUGUGACUCGUAUCAUUCCCCCUUCCUAAAAAUGAUUCGUCCUCGAAUCUGAAAAAUCAAAUGAACUCGACUUUCCUCUAUCGAAUGGGACUAAUGGCAAUUGAGUCCACUGAAAAGAAUAGCCAUGAGAUAGUAAAUAGCAACGGAAACAAGCUUGUAGUCCAAUCAUAAGCAUAACAGAACAGGUAUAACGCAUGUGAAUGGACAGAUUCAGAUUACCAUGCAAACAAACUAAUUUACUCACCACUGCCUCGUCAAAUAUUUGAAACAAAGAUGGACAUGUUUUAAGGCAUUCAGUCGUCUCACAUUGUUCCCACAAACCAUGAAUAAAUUGCGAGUAAUAAAUCAAAUGGUAAACAUAAUCGUCACAAGUAGGUAUUUGAAAAGAUUCACAUGGUUCACAGAGUUGCAUAAUCAUACCAUGCAUUAAUCGACGGUCUAUAGAUUCACUCACACAUGCAUUAUCAAAAACAAGAAUCUUUUUAUCAACCAUCAAAAUAGAUAGAUCAUCAAUAAAUAAAAUAGGACAGUCAAGCACGUUUCGAUCUAAGUGUUCAUCAACACGAUCUUUAUCACUAUCCGAGGAGUACAAAAGUGUUUCAAAGGUUUCAAGCAUCUUACCUCGAUAAGUAGAAGAAUAAGGGUCGAUUUUACCUUUUUCAUUUAAAACAAACCUUCGCUCAUCGGGGGCAUAGUGUAGUCGUAUCUUCGUUGUUGAGUUAACGUUUGUCAAAUGGAGCUCAAACUUCAUGUACAACCACAUAAACUGUUUAAGGCACGAAUAUAAAUUGAAAACAAAUUUGGAAAAUUUCGUUACCUUAUUCUCCAAAACAGAUUUGGACAAAUUCGAGGAUUUUACACAAGGUAAAUCAAGAGAAUAACAAAUCACGCUUCUUUUCGUAAGGACUUUAUCAACCACAAUCGAAGAGUAACAAUUAAUCGGAUCAAAAUGAGGGGAUCUUUUAAGAACUAAGUCACCAAAAGUUUUAUCAAUAAUUUUCAAAUCUGCACUGGACUCGGUUUCUAAAAUUUCCUUACCUCGCUUACCUUCGGGAUCAUGUAGUGUGAUUUCAUCUUUGCUUAAGUUGAUCGUAUGAAAGCGUCUUUCAUUUGAGAGGUAUUGAAGUUGAAAGUUAUCUUUCGAUCUUUCGGGAACCUGAAAAGUAGCAACACAAGAAAAAUUCAUAUCUUGGUUAGUGGAAACAUUCCUCACUAGCCUUUCCUCGUCUUUUUCUUUUGUUUCUUUUUCUAACUCAUUUUCUCUUCUUUCUUUAACUUCUUUUUCAAUUUUCUUUUUUGUUUCACAUUCCUUUUCACUCUCAAUCUCUUUUUUCUCUUUUUCAUUCUCUUUUUCUUUUUCCUCACUUGUUUUAACAACAGAAUUUUUCAGUUUGAUUUGGUCCUCAUGGACUUGUUCCGGAGUGAGCGGUACUAAGGUGAUUUUCCUUCCUUGAUACUUGAAAGAAUACCUAUUGGUACGACCAUCGUGAGUGACUUUUCGAUCCAGUUGCCAUGGUUCUCCUAGCAACAAAUGGCAGGCUUGAAUAGGUACUACGUCGCACACGACUUCGUCUUGAUAUUUACCGAUAGAAAAGGCGAUGCGCACUUGUUGAGUGACCCUAAAUUGGCCUUCGUUGCUAAGCCCUUGUAGUUGAUAAGGUUGUGGAUGCUUGGUAGUGGUUAAGCAAAGCUUUUCCACCAUCGUCGUGCUGGCUAUGUUCGAGCAACUUUCACCAUCAAUAAUAACUCUACAAAGCUUACCUUGUACGUGACAGCGAGUAUGAAAGAGAUGUUCUCGUUGCUGCUCGCUCUUUGGUUUUGCCAAAGAUGAUUGUCCAUGAUCAUGACAAUCAUCAUCCAUUCUAGGGACACGUUGAGGGUUGCACCUAUGGGGCUGGUUAUCCCUAUCUUCCUUAAUUGGAUCUCGAUAUUGAUGUUUUUGAUUCACUCGUACCUCAUUCAAAGUAGUAGUCAACGCUCGAAGUGCAGCAGCCUGUUCGUCCAACUGUUGUUGGAAUUUUUAAAAUAUGUCACUAUUAUUAUCACCUGUUGACAUUUUUUUUAAAACCUGCAAAACACUCAACACUCAAAAAUAAAAGUUAUCAAACCUCACCGUUAAUCACUCAAAAAGAAAAAAUCAAAUUCUCAAUGAGGUCGAAUUCAAUCUUGUGAGUUCUUUAUCAGAGUUUAUAUCAACCAAUUAGAGAGUGUGAACCAAACUACCAAAGAAUCCUAAUUUGCACUAGGAUGCCAAAAACUGACGAGACACCAAUUGAUUCGUGUUGCACCGAGGAAGAAGUUGUGCACAGGUUUAAAUCCUACUAACACAAGAAACAAGAAGGUGUUAGAUAAUGUAAAGGAAGAAUAAAGGUAAACAAAUGAAAACCUACAGCUAAGAAUCAAUAAAAAUUGCUAAAACCAGAAAACCCGAAAAACUGCGGAGUAACUUGACAACUUCGUUAGAGGUGUUCCCGAUCUCCAAAAAUCACAAAAUUAAAUCUCGAAUGUCUUAAAAUAUUGAAUUUUUGAUCUGGAAAAUUUUGGCACCAAUUUCAGAUUUGAUUUGAGUGAAAAUUCUCUUUGAGUUCUUCAAGGAUUUUCUCUUGAGUUUUCUUUAGAAGUUGUUUUAACAAUCUUUUUGAUUGUGGAAGCCAUCUUCAACCUUCUUCUUGCCAUUGAUAUUCUUUGGAGGGGAGAUUAGAGCCGUUUGAAGGGAGUUGUGAGAUCUUUCGAGAUUUCAAGUGAUGCGAGUCACAAAAGCCCAAAUUCUUGAAGGCGAGGCCCAAUAAGCAAAUUCCCAGCCCAAUCAAGAAAUCCAUCCAUACUUAGUUGAAAAUCAGGCCAAAUUGUCAAAGUGGCCCAAGUUGUAAAGUUUUAUUUUUAUUUUUAUUUAUUUAUUUAUUUAUUUACUUAGUUUAAAUUUUUAUGUCAAUAUUCAGUCUAAGAGUCCCAGAUAAAAUGACCUUUGACCAAAUUUCCAUAUUAAAAUAAUUAGGAGUUUUUUUUAUUUUAGUUUUCUAAUUAGAUUAGGACUAGUUAUAAGGCCUAUUUAAAGGCAUGGCUGUCCACCUUGUUAAACACUUAUCAUUAUUAUUAAAAUUUUAGAUUUGUUGAGAGCAGAAUUUUCUUUGAGUUUUCUCCAAGAUUUCUCUCUUGAGUUUUCUUUAGAAGUUGUUUUAACAAUCUUGUGAUUGUGGGAGCCAUCUUCAACCUUCUUCUUGCCAUUGAUAUUCUUUGGAGGGGAGAUUAGAGCCGUUUGAAGGGAGUUGUGAGAUCUUUCGAGAUUUCAAGGCUUCUUAGGACUUAUCUUUUAAUUUCUUACUGUCAAUUCUUUCUUUAUUUCUGCUUGUGCCGAAUCUUUAUCUAAUUUAUUUUCUGUUCUUAUUGUGUUUUCAGCCUUUUUCUAUCUUAAGGAAUUAGCCCAAAAAUCCCCAAUUUCUAGGGUUCUUACCGAUUCAUCCAUACUCUUUUUUGGGAGAAAUUAGAUUGCCGAAAUUUGGGGAAAACUAUCUGGGUGUUCAAUUGGGCAGAAUCGCAAUCUCUUCUAGGGUUUCAAGAUUCCUUAUUAACACUUAUUUCUAUU
This 72583-nucleotide long non-coding RNA is filed under the name Gossypium barbadense (sea-island cotton). Its description in RNAcentral is "long non-coding RNA (GBAR_LNC009109)". Lineage: Eukaryota; Viridiplantae; Streptophyta; Magnoliopsida; Malvales; Malvaceae. The record is from RNAcentral.